AACAUAAGAACUAUCAGAAUGACCAGAUGAGACCAAAAUUAUGCCACAUAAAUAAACAUGUUUUUGUUAGAAAUAAUUGACGAGAGAAAAUGUAAUUACAAAAGAAAGAUCAAAGGCUUACAAGUUAGUAUACUCCUAAAAACUGUAUGCUUGCCUGCCAAAAUCAGUACAAUCUAGGCUUUUUCUGUACCAAUAUACGCACCGCCUUUCAAAAGACUAAACAAUAUCUGGAUCACGUCAACUUUUCACUCUGUGCACACCCGCGUUACCCAAAGGGGACUACAGAAGUAUGUCUAACAAAACUCGAGUAAGUAUCAAGUCAAAUACAUUGGGAAAAAACAGGAUGCUACUCCACUGAACUAUACACAUAUCAGCCAGGAUUCAGCCUGCAUUUCACCUCAUGAGAUCAGCUUGUGUAUCGCCUCAUGUAUAGUGUAGAAGAGAUUAGUUCCUUAUGAAUUUUAUAUUUGUCAGGUGAACAAAGCCAUACAUUUCUCAUUUCAAUGGUGAGUAAUUUUCUUUUAGUACCUACAAUGGCAGAAAGUAUUCCGUAAGUAUGCCAAGUAUAUAUAACAAAAUGAGUACACGAGGAGAGAAGUGUAUAAUCAAAGGGAGCACAUAACAAAUGAGAAUCAUCUUCUUCAUGCUGUUUUACGCAUAUGGAGUUCAUGAGCAGGAAUACAAAACGGGCUGAUUUUCACUGAACUUGUGUGGAAUCACAUAUUUUGAAAUGGCAAUAAGACAUGGCCCACUACUUGAAACUGUAAUCAAUAUUCUUCAGACACCACACUGAGUCUUUCAGCAACCAUACAGAGUUCAAACAAACAGAAUAUUACCUAUCUAUUUCAAGGAUUGCCUAUUUUCUUCAGCAAGCCAUACAGAGUUGAAACAGACAGAAUAUUACCUAUCUAGUUCAGGGAUUGCCUAUUUUCUAUCUAGUUCAAUCAUGCGAUUUCCUUAACUUUACUGCCGACUCUUGGUAACAUAAAUAUAACAGUAGUGAUCCGUGAUGAAAAACAGACAAUGUCAAUGGUUAACCAAUUAAUAAACCCCUUCACAGUUCAAAGACCACGUUCCCUUAGGACGAAAUAGAGAAUAGGAAAUUUAUUCAAAACCAAUUCUGCAGUACUAAUACGUGAUGGAGAACAACUAUUGUCAAUGUGUCAACAAUUAAAUAAAUUCACAUGUGUUUUUCACCCAGAGAAUCCAAGACAGGAGCAACAAGUCAAGCAGCAUGCACCAAUGGAGUAAUUAGAUUAGGAUUGAGAAAUAUUAGUUACUUAUCCGGGAAGCUGUCCACCUUUUGAUGGCUUUUCCGUUCAAAUAAAGAUGGCUCUUGCUAGCCACUGUGUUUUCACCCUCACGCUAUAUCGCAAAUCUUCUCAUUUUCAGUGGACUUCAACUAGACAAAAGCGAUCUUUCAUAGGAUUAUUGCAUACAAGUAAAUUUUGAUGUCCUAAGCAGAGAAAUACACAGGUAGGCGGUCACUUAUCACAGGUCGAAGUUAUUUUUUUUGGAAUCAAGAGUAUGUUUUGAUUCAGUUCACCAGCAUCAAGUAUGAGAUUAUUGGUCAACUAUACUUGCAACUAAAGUGGCUCCUAAUUUGCAAUUCUAACUAUUGAUCAACUACAACACGUGAGCACAUGCACAGCUGUAUUUGAGUUCCUUGCAGAUUGCAAAAGGAAACACAGACAAGCAAAUAUAACUGGGCCUUUAUUUACAUUGAUUAUUAAAGAACUAAUACCUGUGCACUAUAAAGAAAUCAAACUGGAACUUGGUCGUAGCAUCAAUGAUUUGGGCUCUAAACAAAUUUGGCAGACAACAAGUGGAAUUGUAAUUGCCCAAGUAAAGGCUAAACAUGCUGCACCGCCGCUCUUCCUCAGUCAUCAAUAAUUCCUGGUUGUGCUCCUGCCUACCAAUAGCUAGUAGUGAUCAACAAGCCAAGAGAACACUAGUGCAGAACCGGGCAAUAGCACCGGUUCGUAAGGCCCUUUAGUGCCGGUUCAGGAACCGGCACUAAAGUUUCGGCACUAAAGCCCCCCCCCCCUUUAGUACCGGUUCAGCACGAACCGGUGCUAAAGGGGAACCACGUGGCACGAGCCAGCUCCGGGGGCCGGGAGCCCUUUAGUACCGGUUGGUAACACCAACCGGUACUAAAUGGUUGUGGGUUUUUGUUUUAUUUUGUAUUUUUCAAUUAAAUUUGUGGUAUCAAUUUAAUUUAGGAUUGUUUUACAUUAUAAUGAGUUGUAGUCAUCAUCAUCAUCAUCAUCAUCGCAUAUUAAUAAAUAAAUAAACUCUAGCUAGCUAAAAAUAAUCAUAGUCGUCUAGUUACCACUAUUUAAUCAUCAUAGUCAUUACUGCUAGCUAUCUAAUCAUCAUCAACGCUGGCUAGCUUAAAGAGGAAACAUUCACUUUGUAACAGAAGCAAAGAUAUCAUCAAGUUCAACAUAAUCAUCACCAACAUCGAAGUUCAGGACAGGGACAUGAGACAAGUACUAAUUAAGAGCAUGAACUAGUAGCUACUCAUCCUGCUGCUCCCUCUCAGGUAGAAUAGCAUAGAACAUGUAUAGCUCUCCUGAUUCAUCAUACUGGAGCAUGUAGAUGAAUCUGUCUCCUAAUCUUGGGUUGCGCUUCUCCUUGCUGCCCCUAGUACUUCUCUGUGAUCGUUAAUAAUUUUGCUCCAAUCUUUCACUAUUAAGCAUUCUUCGCUUUCAGAAAUCCUGAAUGCACUCAUGUGCAAUGUAGGAAAUCUUGGUCGUAAGCUAACCAUUGACAUGCGACCUUUUGUCUCGAUCCACUGAGGCACAACUGUCAUCGGAAGUCCCUGUUGAAGAACAUCGUAUAGUAAUUAAUAUACUAAGCUAUGAAAGUUUAGCUUCAAAAAUAAUGUAUGCAAAAGAUGCACUAAUUAAGGACAAAUAUUUAAAAUCUUACCAUCUUUCAAUUAUAGAUGUGACCGUAGUUCAAUACGAUCACCAUUGGUCGCACAUUUUGAGUACUAACAUUUCUAAGUUUAGAAAAAAAAUUGUCUUCACAGUAUUAAGAUCCUCAAGCCAUGAAACAUAAUGACUUAUCUCCUCGCAGUUUAGUUGAGCCCCGGGGCAGUAGUAGGUCCUGUCUACCAAGCGCUGGACAUGUUUGCUUGAACCGAAAUAAGCUGACAAUAGAAAUUAGUUGUCAACCAUUUUUGAAUAAACUGUAUGAAAGACAUAAACAUAUGCAUGCAUGGUUGAGAAAAACUCACCAAAUGGUAGAACUGGAGGCGUUUGCACAUCGACCCAGAUGUCUAUAUUACCUUCAAUAUUAUCUUCCGGAUGAAUAUCAAAGGUGAUAACCAUAUCAGGCUCAAAUGCAUAAGCCUUGCAUAGUGCUUGCCAAGUUUUGCAUUCAAAAUGGGUGUAUGUGUCUCCAUUAUAUAAUUUGACGUUGAAAGUAUACCCAUGCUCCGUCUUCAAGUAAACUCUCUUUACCUCCAUAUCAUCUAUAGCACUAAAACCUAUCUUAUCCAAGACAAAAAUUCUUGCAUGGCAGGGGAUGCGCUAGUAGAAUAGUGAAAAUUUAAAAUUAUAAGUUGAAGCAAAUGAAGCAUAAGUUUUGCAUUCAAAUAAUAAUUGAUAGAGUGACUUACUGUAUCAACUUCGAAUGUCUCAUCCAGCUUGAUGCUGAAGCGCCUACCAUCAAUAAGGAAAUUUUGGUCGCACAGGCCGCGCUGAUCUUCACAGUGUUCGCACAUAAUGAAAUCUUUUUCGUCGUCAGAUGACAUUUCCUAUGUUCAUAUAGGUGAAACAUUAAACACCUAUAUCUAGCCAAAUAUAUAUUCAUCUAACAUUUGACAUUAAUAUAUCUAACUAUAUUCAUCUCUAACAAUUGGCAUUACUAUAUAUUUAACUUUUCUAUCGAAUUCAUCUAACAUUCGACAUUAAUGUAANNNNNNNNNNNNNNNNNNNNNNNNNNNNNNNNNNNNNNNNNNNNNNNNNNNNNNNNNNNNNNNNNNNNNNNNNNNNNNNNNNNNNNNNNNNNNNNNNNNNNNNNNNNNNNNNNNNNNNNNNNNNNNNNNNNNNNNNNNNNNNNNNNNNNNNNNNNNNNNNNNNNNNNNNNNNNNNNNNNNNNNNNNNNNNNNNNNNNNNNNNNNNNNNNNNNNNNNNNNNNNNNNNNNNNNNNNNNNNNNNNNNNNNNNNNNNNNNNNNNNNNNNNNNNNNUCAAAUCUCAUAUACCUAAAUAAACUAGUUCGACAAUUUUCUUACUAAAAAUAAACUAGUUAUAUUAAUUAUUCAACUAGUUCAAAUCUCAUAUACCUAAUUAAUAUCUAGCUAUAUUCAUCUCUAACAAUUGACAUUAAUAUAUAUUUAACUUUUCUAUCUAAUUCAUCUAACAUUCGACAUUAAUCUAAUAUUCAAUCAUCUAAUUAACUUUUCUAAAAAACAGAAAACAGAAAAUAUGUAAAAAAAUGUGUGUGUGUGUGCAUGUGUGUGUAUGUAUGUGUGUGUAUGUGUGUGAGUAUACUGCAGUGCCGCCCCGUACGCCGCCGCCCCGUACGUACGAGCGGGGACGCCGGCGUACGGGGCGGGGGCGGCGGCGUAUGUAUGGGCCGGUGCGCGCGGCGCGGGUGCGAGAGAGACGUACGGCCGCGGCGAUGACGACGGACGGCGGCGGUGUUCGGGGCGGCAGCGCGAGAUGACGGCGACGACAACGGACGGCGGCGGGGACAGGGACGAUGACGACGGACGACGGGCGACGGGCGGCGACGACGGGAUCGAGCGGCGCGCGCGGCGAUGUCUCGCGAGAGGUUGGAGACGAAGUGGAGAGAUGAAACUGAAAUUUUCGUAAGUGCUAUAUAUAUAGGAUGGGCCUUUAGUACCGGUUCGUGGCUCCAACCGGUACUAAAGGCCUAUUUUCGCCAGGCCAAGCGGCGGGAAACGAAGGCUUUUAGUACCGGUUGGAGCCACCAACCGGUACUAAAGGGGGGGGGGCUUUAGUACCGGUUGGAGCCACCAACCGGUACUAAAGGCCUUGCGCUGCCAUCCCAAAGUUUAGUCCCACCUCGCCCAGCGAAGGGCAGCCGCACUGGUUUAUAAACCCAGCUGCGGCUACCUCUUCGAACUCCUUUAUAUAGAGCAGGCUUCUCGGCCUAAUUAAUUAAGGCGCGCUAUCCUGUGAGUCUGCUGGCCCUUCUGGGGAUCAGGUACGAGUUAAGGUAUGGAACCUGUCCAUAAAGGACUAGUAUUUUAAAUUUUCUUUUGAGGAUCUGGGGUAGUUUUUUUAAGCUUACGUAACUCCUGAAAUUACAAGAAGAGGAUUUCGUCAUAAUACAGGACUUUCAUGGGAAAUAAGAACUUGAUGAUGCAAACAAAGAAGUUGUUUCAGUUUCAUCGACUAGUAUUUGACAAAUGACUGUGUUCAUGGUGCAAUUAGACCAAUAUACAUUAGAUUUGCACACCAAGAGAUUCAGUAACAGUAUUCUGUUCAUCCAAUCUGGAUCGCCAUUAGUUUGAGGGCUACAAUAGCUUUGUUUAUCUCUUACCAGCUCAGUGCAAAUAUUGUAUCCCAACAGAUGUUGAAUGAAUUUUCCAAAUAAAAGUUUGGUUGCUACAAACAUAUUCAUUUUGAGAUUUCAGAUGAAAGGCAGCUUCGACGGUGUCUUGGCACUUCCUCAAUAACGCUUCCUCGACCGGCCAGCGAAGACGGCGUCUUGCCGGUUUCCUGAUCCGCCACUAGAGACGACAUGACGGUGCAUCCUCGACCCGCUAGCGGUAACUGCGUCUUGCCGGUCUCCCGAUCCGCCACCGGAGACAGCAUGACGACACUUGCUUGACCCGCUAGCAGCGACGGCGCCUUGCCAGUUUCCCGACCCGCCAUCGGAGAUGGCAUUACGGCGCUUCCUCGACCUGUUAGCGGAGACGGCAUCUUGGCGGUUCCUCGAUCCGCCAGCGGAGAGGGCAAGACGGUGCUUCCUCGACCCGCCAGCGGCGACAGCCUCCGCAUCCUCUGAUUCUUCCGUCGAUGAGGAAUCGGUCAAAACGUGUGGGUUCUUCGUCGAUCUGGCCGUCGUCGAUCCGCCAUCGGAGAGGCCUUGUUGGAGCUUCCAUGAUCCGGACCCAUUUUUUGACAUGUCCGCCUUGACAUUUCGUCAAACACGUAGCAGGUCGGCCGGUGCGCCCAACGAGUGCUGCCUAUGCUCGGUCGCCGUUGCUCCCGCCCCACAGCUCCGCCCUGCUACUCGCCCGGCAGCAGCAGCUCGGUUGAGAGAAGCCGCCCGCGCCCGCCUCUGCGAUGCUCUCAGUCCGCACUAAAGCUCGUGCCCGCUCGUCGUGCUCUCGCUCGUGCGGCCACUCCUCAUGCUCCUGCUCGUGCCCGCCAAUGCUUGCGCCACCUAGUCCGUCUUUGGGUGUCAAGGUCACGUCCUGCUGCCCGGAGCUCUGAGCUCGCGUCACCGUGCCGCCGGGCCCAGCCGCCAUGCUCGUCGGCGCCCCGAGCGCAAGUAGCCGAGCGCGAGGCACCGCCCCGCGCCCGCGGCUGUGACCGCACGCCCGAUCUCGCGCUGACCUGCAGGAGCACCGAUGUCGCAUGGCGCCGGCGGUGCCGACGGCAGUGAACGCGGGGAGCAUGGCGGGGCGUCACGGCGAGCAUGCUCGUCGGCUGGGGAUGUACGAGGCGCGGCAUGGCGACGGCGGGGUUGAGCAUGGCGCCGACGGGGAUCUAUAAGGCGCGGACGGGGAUGGGUAAGACGGUUUGGUUGUUUAAUUUACAUAGUUGAAUCUCCAUGGUUAUCGUUUGAACAAAAGCGACAUAAUUACGUUGGACCUACUCUAGCUGGCGUGGACGAACCCUUCAUGGAUUGUUCGGUAAGAUGAAAGAUGCUGAUCUCACCCCAUCUCAAGAUCGGAAUGUGAGAUCGAGACUGAUAUAGAUCGAACGUCUCAUCAACCCAUACCAUGAGUACUUAUGUUUCGAGACAAGUGUAUAACCUAAUAGUUUUAAAGUGAGGGUUGCAUGAGGUUUAUGUGAGCUGUAGUUCAAAAUUGGCCAAUUUUUUGCUGUUUUGACCAACAUUUGACCAAGGCACAAAUAUUUGACAUAUCCCAACCUAAGUGUAGAUCCAUGAUGGAACAACAGUUCCUAACACAAUAAAUCUCAAAACUAAAUUGGUUUGGUUGUUUAAUUUACAUAUUUGAAUCUCUAUAUGGCUAUCAUUUUAACAAACCCGACAUAAUUAUGUUGGACCUACUCUGGCAUGGACAAACUCUCCAAGAAUUGUCCGGUAAAAUGAAAGAUGCUGAGAUCAGCCCAUCUCAAGAUCGGAAUAUGAGAUCGACACUGACAUAGAUCGACCGUCUCAUCAACCCACCCCAUCAAUAUUUUUGCUGCUUUGACCAACGGCUGACCAAGGCAUACAUUUUUUAUAUUUCCCAACCCAAGUGUAGAUCGAUGAUGAAACAACACUUUUCUAAUUGGCUGUGGGUGGUUGGCGGGUCGGGGUUGCGGCGGAGGGGUUGAAGCACCGUGGUACAUCACCUACCCAGUCUGUGCACUGGUCGACGGCGACGACGUCCGUGGACGUCGUGUUCCUCCUUGCAGGCUCCGCUGUGGUGCUCCCACUCCUGCCGUCUUACUCCGGGUGAAAACUUGAUCUUCGGAUCGGACGGUGAAAACGUUCAUGGCCGUGCCCUUCCUGAAGGCGUCGUCUUGGAGUCCUUGGUCCAGCGUGUCCGUCGCACAUCUUCGCGGAUAAUCACUCCUCGUGCUGGUGGUCUCCAUCGGCUCUAAGCGGAUUCGUUUUUUGCACAUCUUAUAGGUGCUUGGUAGUCAUUGAGGUUGUGUGUCGGUGCCCGACAUUCAUGUAUCCUGUCUUGGGUGUGUGUGGCAUGUGUUUGUAUCGGUUGCUUCGAUGUAUGUGAUGGUUGCUUUAUACUAAAGCGGGAAAACUCUUUUUAGUUCGUUAAUUGGCUUUCUCAAAUGGCGAUGACUAUACAAAUAUCGACGACAAGAACGUUACGGGAGAGGGUGCCGGAUCGCCCCUCCAUAAUUCUUGGAUUUGGUGGGUUUGUAACCAUGAUAUAACUUUUACAAACAAAUUUUAGUAUUUCCUCUAUCUCAAAAUAGAUUUACAAACUAGAACAUUCCCUCAAAAAAUUAUUACUUUUUUAAAAUAAAAAUAAUUACUUCCCACCACCUAAUUUAGGUGUACCGUUGUUUGCGUCAAUAUUUUUUAACCUCUCGCUAAAAGGUCCUAAAUUAGCGUCUUUGUUCCCACCAAAAAAUAGCUUAUAUUAACCUUCCCCCUAAAUACCCUCCUAACAGAACCACUCCACGGCGUCUUCACGGGAGAUUGGAUCUGAGCUCUCGUCCGUGGUUCCUCUGUGCUGCCGACGUCAUGACGGCGUCAACACGGCGAACCACACCCGAGUUAGCUGCACGGCGUCAGGUCCCGAUCUCCUCCCUUCCUGGAACCUCCGCUCCUCGAUCUCGCCCUCCUCCCUCUCCUCUGCGCCCGCCGACGUGGGCCGCGUCUCCGUGUCCUCGGCCAUACCGGCGGCAGCAGCGAUGCGGUCUGGCGUCGGCGCCGACGGAGUUCCCGUCUCAUCCCCUUGCCCAUUAAUCUCGUGUCUGGACCAAGCACGACACCACCUCGGUGUUGCACGCCGCGACAAUGCCCGCCCGGGCUCAAACCCCCCUCCCCCACGAGCUCUUCCUCGACGUGCCGCUCUUUUCGUCCCUUCUCUCCUCCGCUCGCCGCUUGGUCGUAGAACUGGUCAGGGCAGGGGACAACAUGGCCGCCGCCAAGCAGCAGCCGCCGCUAUACAUUGCCGUCGCCGACGACCGCCAGAGGAGCACCUUCCCCUGCAUGCGCCCCAUCCUGCAGAGCGCGCUCCAGCUCAUGGGCUGCAAGCCACGCCACACCUUCAAGGUCUGUCUUCCCCCAUCUUGCUUGUCCCACAAUCUGUCAGCUCACUUCUUUUCCCUUGGGUUCAGUCUGAAUCUUUAGAUUAGACUCAGUAUCCUACCAUCUCUGCCGCAUCCCUGAACCUCCAUAGCAAGCGAUGUAGAUCAGUUUUUUUUGGUAUUCCAUACUCCUCAUAUCCUACUUCAAUUGGCUGAUGGGAUCAGUCUCAUAGUGUUUUUCGUUACAAUUAGCGAGCGCUGUACAUCUACCUCGUAUCCUGCUUCAAUUGGCUGAACCUACAGAGUGUAUUUAAUUAGUAUGAUGUUCACAGCAGGGGUGGAGCUACUAGGAGCCUCUGAUGCAUAGGCAUCAGGGUCGAUGUUGAUUUCUUCAAGCGAUUGUGUAGAGUUGUUUGGCCGUGCACCAGGUUAGGCUGACAGCGCUGCAUCAGGUACAGAGACAAUCCCAUGGCGGCCUUGUUCGGAACUGGUUCAUGGGUAGGCCAGGUCUUGUUCAGACGUGGCCAGGCCUUGGCGUAGCCUUGUGGGCUGUAGCCUUUUGGGUACGUUUGGUGUGGCUGGGCAUCAAGGCGUCAAUGCCCUUAGGUGUUGUAGGGUCACGCCGACACGCGAUCACUCGACGAACCACAUCGGAUGGGCGACGCUGCGCUAGGCUCGGUCUUUACACCUAGCAUCAUCCAUGCUAAUCCGAUCAGUCACUGACCUCAGCUCUAGCUCAAAGGUAGAGUAUGACAUAUAGAUGUAGUAAAUCUUAAAUCUCGGGUUAACCAUUGCAAAAAUUGUGCUUUUAGGCGGUAUCUUCUUAGAUUUUUUUUUAGUUCUACUAGCAUAAAUGCCCGUGCGUUGCAACGGGAGAAACAAACUCUCGCACACCCUAGCGAGCAAUCCAUGUUGUCACUUCUCCUCUUUGGCAUCAUUGUCGAUGGUGGUCACUUGUGUAACUAUUUACGAAAAAGGUUAUCAAUCCCUAUGCGGUGAGCUAGGUCAUUACACUCUACCAUGCCGAUUUCAUGAGUCCCUCCCUAUACUAACUUGCAAUUCUUUGUGCGUAGCAACCGUCACAUUCACUUCAUGUGGUUCAACACCAAUCAUGUCUUUACAUGUCAUGCGGUGCAUUUCCUUGUUUACCACACACAAUAAUAAUUUUAUUGACCACAGACAAUAAUAAUUAUUAGUGUAAAUAAUGUUAAGGUAUGAGGUUAUCAACUUGCCGACCGAACAUAAGCUGCAUACACCUUUUCUUUCUGCUCAUAUUUGUGAGCAAACUGGACCAACUUCUUGAGGCGGCUUAUUAAUUUCAGUUCAUAGACAUAUAUAAAUUGGUCCGUCGAGUUAUAAGAAAGCGAGUUGGGAUAAUUCAAUAACCGAACUAAUUAAUUUCUUUGUGUUAGUUAAUUGCAUGCCAUGUCUGGGUAAUUCCUUUGCGCAAUAUUUUUUAGAAAAAUCUCCUUCCUUAUCUGAUCACGCCCCGGUAGUAUUUCGUCUUAGGAUAUUCUCUUUCCUCAUCUGAUCACGCCACCAUGGUAUUCCUUCCUUUUUCCGAAACUCUCCUUUUCUUCUUUGUACCCACUGGUAUUAUAAUUCCUUAGGGUCAUUAUUAUUCUCUCCUUCCUUAUUUAAGCCCGCUGAUCACGUCACACAUUUAAGAACAAAAAAAAAAGAUCACGUCACACAUCCCAUCCCAUUAAAUCUAAGCCACAUAUGUCAGCCCACCUUUGUUUCGUACUUCUCAAGGCUGCUUACUGAUCUUGAAUCACAAACAAAUAUAAAUUGGGAGUAGAACAUGUAAAGCAGCGAGGUGGUACUAUUUAAUAAGGGAACAAUCCUGGUAUUUCACACAAUGAUGUCCUAGCAUGAUUGGUUGCGUCCUUUGGUCUUGACAUGCAACGUCUGGAGUUCGAUUGCUCGUGAAGACGCUUUUUUUUUGUCUGGGCUGGCUCCAUGUAAUAUUUCUGCCUAGGCCGAUUUUGUUGUUGUUAUGUGCUAGUAGAGUAGGCCCAAUAGCUAAAGCUCCGGCCAAGGCCCAGCGAGGCGAUCCAGAUGCAAAGUUGGAUCGAGACUUCUGUAAUUACCGUGACGGAACGUACGUGAACGUGAAAAUCAACAAAGCGAGCGUACGUGGAAAAAACUUUUAAGCGGGACGAAACCAAGAAUAUCACCUUCCUUUAAUAGUAGGUAUAGAUGUACAAGGGUAUUCUGAAGUUGAGAAUUCAGUUCAUUUACUUGACUUUAUCAAAUGUGGGUAGCCACAAGACUGGAGACGCGAGACUUUGUGUAUAGUCUAAUAAUGUUGCAAUAAGUCGCUCCAUCGUCGUAUUUUCCCUCCUUUUUGCAAUAAUUGUUCAUUCACAUUUUUUCAGAAAUUAUUGCCAAUGUACUAAGUCUUAUUCAGAGAUUGUCAAUAUUGUUGGGCGUGUCCUGCUCUCCCUCUUUUAUAUUUGGUUGUUUGGUCUCACACUGAAGGUGCUAGAUGUAAUGUGGACUCAGGGCCAGAACAGAGAAGAACCAGAGCAGCUAGACUCGGGUGUGUGUUCAAGGCAACAAAUGCCCUCUUUUCCACUGAACCACCAACACAUGCUAGCUCUGCUCUUUUGAUGUUCACUUACACAAAAAAAGACCACACUGUAUCCAUACCCGUGCAUGCACAAGCCCACACUGUACUACACUAUUUGGGUACACACUCAGUACAAUAUCUUCAGCUUCUACAAUGGCUUGUCUGACUGGUUAUAUUUGGUUUCAAUAAAUUGAUAGGAACGCAGCCAAAAGAACGCCGAUAACCAUAAGAAACAGAAGACAAAACAUAAAAUUGGAUCAAAAUCUUACUCGCAAGUAAGCUUUGAGAAGGUAUGAGUCUAACUAAAUAUGUAUGCCUCGCUGCUAAAUAUGGUUUCGUGUUUCAAGCAUCUCAUUGUUAUAUUACUUGCAGAGAAACUUGGAACUCACCCACACGAACGACGGAACAUGGUCUAACACAGAGUCCUAGAAAGUUUGCGUAAGUACACUGACUUUUGGUUAUUCUAUAGUUAUUUUAUAUAGUGUCAAUAUUGAUGCCGUACCUAUAAUUGUUAUUUUCAUUUUUAGAACAAAGCACGUCAAGAGGUUCAAAACAAAGAAACUGAAACUGAAGGUCCACUUUCAAGUGAGCAGAAAAACAAUAUUUUCCAGACCGCAUACAAAGAGACUCUGAAAUGCAAGUCAUCGCAGCCUUGUGGGUACGGAUACAUGGCCAAACCUUCAACUGGUUCUCAAAGGUUUCAUAUCCAGGUUGAAGAGCAAGCUCGUGCUACAGCAGCCACCCAACAGCAAAACUCUGAGCUCAGCCAGCAGGUCAACGAAUUACAAGAUCAACUACAAGCUGAACGUGCAAACACACAAGAGAGGAUUAACUUGGAGUGUACUGAGAGAGAACAACUUGAGGAGAGGUUAAAAGAAGGGCAUGCUGAAAGGGAAAGAUUGUUGGAAUAGGAGCGGACAUCAAGACCGGAAUUUGAAAAAAACAUGAUGCCAAAGUUUGUAGCAUUGAGCCAACAGAUGGGAACCCAACAGGUGAUUACAGUCAUAUGCUUGCGACCUUGUAAGAUUUAUGUUGCUUACUUGCAUUGCUAAAAGUGCACUUAUAUUUACAGGUGCCUAAGGAUUGACAAAGAAAAUAGUAACCCAAACUUGCAAAAUACACUUUUAUAGAGAUCUAGUCCUAAUAAGACUCCAGUUCAAGGCCAAUUAUUAUUUCUUCAAAUGCGCUCAUACAAGCUGCAACAAGGAAUUCUCGAAUGUUUAAAGCAAUGGUAAGUCACAACCUUACUUUUUCUUCAUGUUCACUUGCAUUUUAUACGUCAUUGGCAUUCAUAACUAGCUAGCUGUUUCUUCUCUUUCACCAUGUGUUGUUGCUGCAUCGAGUCACAACUUAAACAAAAAAUGAAUAUGUGCUAGCUAGGAACAUGAACUUAACUGAAACUAUACAUCGGGUCACAACUUAAAUCAGUAGCAGAACCUUUUAGUAGAUGUACUUGUGCUUAUGCUUUAGACAUUUACACUUGUAUGAUUGUUCUAAUCCCUCAGUUACAUGCUUGUUGACACAGUAUUAGUCUAGUUAGUCUGGCGAUAGUUCCUUUUAACUAUGGGGCUGGAAUAAUUGUAUGGUGUAUGUUAUGUUGGACUCAUUAACUAGAACUUUUUUUAUUUCUUGAUUGCAGGAUCCAAAGAACUAGCUGGCCUGGACUCUAGAUCACGGACGGUUUAGUCUUUGCAAUUAAUUAGGAUGGCUAAAUUAUAUCUGAGUUUCAUUUGAUGGAUAUUUGCUACGAGAAUUAUGAACUUUAUGAAUCUACAUAUUAUACGUAUGGUUUUGAAAUUGUAAUUGAAUGCAUGUAUUUUUUUACGGUUGCAAUAUGCUACAACCCACUUUGGGUUGCCACAAGCACCACCAAAAAAAGUGUUGCGUCAUAUCUCAGUCGAUAUGCCUACUAUUUUGUUGCACUAGGAUGUUGUAACGGAUCACUUCAUAAUGUCUGGCACCACAAAUUUUUUCAUGACGCGAUAACUGUUCGGUGCUACCAAAGUAAUUUUUGUUGAAAUAGAGUAUCACCAUGGAAAUUUUAAAUUGUCGCUAUAGUUUCUCGCUACAAACAUUUCAACUGUUGUGAUACCUAUUUAUCACCACCAAAACAAGUAUGUUGCAAUUUCUUAUUACGACGACAGGAAUAUUUGUUGCCAUAAGUUAAUGCCACAAGUGUAGUGGGUCGUGGCAACAUGCCUAAUGCGGCGAAACCAAGGAUUGCUGCCAUAGUUUAUUGCCACAAUUGUAGUGGGUCGUGGCAACAUGCCUAAUGCUACGAAAACAAGGAUUGUUGCCAUAGUUUUUUGCCACAAGUGUAGUGGGUCGUGGCAACAUGCCUAAUACCACGAAAAUAGGGAUUGUUGCCAUAGUUUAUUGCCACAGUUGACUAUUACCACGGAAGAGUAAUGCGCCACGAAACGAGCGUCGUUGGCAUAGGUUGUUGCCACAAAUGUCUAUCACCACGAGAUACUAGGCGCCACGAUUCGUUGCAUGUUGCAUUAAAGCUAUCUCCAUAAAUAUAAUUGUGGCAUCAAGUGAGUGUUGCCACGGGAAAACAUGUGGCAACUUCCAACAUGAAUGUUGCAAUAGCACACUUUAUUGCCACGGUUGCUUUUUGUGGCAAUAACCUAUUACCAUGUGUCAAGUCGCAACAGCUGCCAACGAAUGCCGUUUCGUGGCAAUAGGUACUUAUCGCCACGAAAUGACAUGUAUUGCAACAAACGAUUUUGUUGCAAUAGACCCGGAUCCUUAUAGUGCCUCCACCGUAGUGGUGCUCUUGCUGGUCAACAGGGGCGUGUACUUCUGCUCGCUACUAUCGCCGCUUGCCGCUGCUGUUGCUUGUGCUCGCCGCCGGCGCCGUACUGCGGCAGCAGCUCCUGGUUGUGGUUGUUGCCGCCUGUAGCGGUGCUGCUGCUGGUAGUGUGCUUUUACAUAUCUUGGCCUGUAUGUACUAGGUAAGUGUAAGACAAGUGUUUGUGCGAACGUUGAUUUGAGUUGUAACUUUUCACAAGUACUAGGUGGCUGCUAUGAGAAAGCAGGUAGGUGAGCUAUUUGGCAGGUUUUACGGCAAUGGUUGUUGGUUUCACGCAUGAAAUGCCUAGAAUAUAUAAGAGCAACUCCAAUGAAGCGACCCAUUUCGUCCGCCCGUUUCCGUUUGGGUCGGCGCGGACAAAAGUGGCGGCCCAACGCGCCGACCCAAACUCAAAUCGUGUCCGCCCGGCAUCCGCGCCGAUCCAUUUCCGGCCCAAAAUUAUGCCUGGAAUGCGUCGGCGCGGACGCGAAGCGGGCGCGCCGCGCGUCUCCUCGCCGUCCACCGCAUCCCCAUCUGACGGCCACCCAACCGCCACGGUCAACAUAAUUUAUGACGACCGCCCACCUUGGACCCACGCGUUAGCGACGGCGGUCAUCCUUUUUUAAGCCGGGCGUGCAGCGGGGCCGUCCUCAUCCACUUACCACUUACCACUCGCCCCCCGUCCCCAUCUGGCCACCCCUGCCCCCACGCCGGCGACAACCCUAGCUACCGCCAGCAUGGGUUUCUUCUCCGGCAUCGGCAGCAGUCGCAAGGGCAAAGCCCCCGCCCGCCAUUCCCCCUCCCUCCCCGCCCUCCCCGCGCCGGCGCGCGCUCCCUGGCAGAGGCAGCGCAUCAACGUGCCGUUGCACCAGUUCGAGUGGCACUGACACCACCGCGUGCCUCUGCCAUACCCAGACGUGACGCUGCCGCAUGACUGACAUUUGGAUCCGGAGAGGAUCCCAGUGCCGGCGGCGCCGCGGACGGCGAGGGCCCAUGCGGAGGAGGUGCGGCGCCGGCGGGUGUUGCUGAUGUCGGAGCAGCGUGCCGACCCGCACUUCGCCGCCGACUCGCCCAACUGGGCUCGAUGGUUCGCCUUCGAACACGAGGAAGCGAGGCGAUGCGGCGUCCGCGGCGUCGACCACAGCCUGCCGCCGCCCGCGCUCGUCGUCCGCGACGAGGACCAGGAGGCCAAGGCCACCUACCAGGCGGCCAUCAAGAAGAGCGAGGAGGAGGAGUGGUGGAGGGAGGCGGACGAGGCGGCUUUCGAGGCUGCCAUGGCGGAGGCCAUGGCCCUCUCCGCGGAGGGCGACUGCGUCGUGCCGCCGGUGGCCCCGCCGUCCCCGCCCAAAGCUGAGCCGGAGGAGCCGGCCUACCGCGAGCGCUACUCCUGGACCGGAGUAGUGCGUGAGUGGGUCAGCGCUCCGCCGAUCUGGCUCGGGGCGACGGAGAAGCAGGAGGCGGCCUACCUCAACCACUGGCGCCGUGUUCGGCUGGCCGAGGAGCGCCGGGAGGGCGAGCGCCUGCAGAUGCUCGAGCGCGAGGCCGACGAGGAGGCGCGCCAGGCCCAGUCAGCGGCGGCAAAGCCCGGCAUCGCCGCCGUUUGGAACACGACGUUUCCCUGGGCCAGCCCUGCGCCGACGUUGAUCGACCUCACCGGUCCCGACGCAGACACCGCCACCGCCGAGGACGCCUAGAGCAGCGCGUCGUCUUGUUUUUAGUGUUUUUAUUAAUGUAAUGUGGACUUUCGCCGGCUUUCGUGGCCGGCUUUUAUGUUUAAUUAAAUGCAUAUGUUUAUUUUCAAACUGCUCGCAAUAUUUUUUUUUGACGCGCCGACAAAAUGAGUCGGGCCAGCGUUAGGCGCUCGUGCCGACCCAAACACAGCGCCGGACGUUGUGUCCACCGGGCCGACCCAAACGGACAAAAAGCGGACGAAAGUGCCGUUGGGUCGGUCCGUUGGAGUUGACUGUUGAAAGUGCUGCUUGAGUGCUGAUUAGACGGGACUUCUCUACGCAUAAAUGUCAUGAUUAAAGCUGACUUAGCUAGUUCUACAUGAUUUUGUUGAAUGUUCAACGUAAAUAUGUUUGACAUGGUGAGGAACUUGAAUAUAGUCCAAAACAUAAGUCAAUGAGUUUUGCUUCGGUACACCGGCCCCCUCUUGAAUAUUUACACGAAUCUUAAAGUUACUUAAAUUUUACCGGAGCAAAACUAACUCUAUUGUAUAUAUACAUGCUUGACGUAAAACUCUAUUUGGCAAGGUAUUAUGAUGGAAAUUAGUGGGUUCAUUUAUGUGGCAGAGCCAUAGACGUAGAGGCAGACUGUACUGUACGUUGUGCAGAGAUGUGGAAUCCUAUAUACUCCUACUUAAGAAGUUCAUCCACACUAUCAUAUUUAUCUAAACAUGCAGACUAUCCACAUUAACAUCUAGCUAAGUCAGCAACUCUAAACAUCCAUACGUGCCAUGUCAUGCCUUCAGUUUCCAUUUGCAUGCAAACAGGCCGAAGCCCACUUUCCUGCGGUAGUAGUAAACAACUUCGCCCACUUUAUGCAUUCUCCCGUGUCAUUAAUUGAUGUUUAACUAGCGCACAGUUCUUCAUAAUGUUCCACCACACCAUCUGAUUCGUCUCCCUUAAUCAGCUGCGUCAUUACACCCCUUAAACUCCCUCGUGCCAUCCAACUUCCUGCAAAUUGCAGCCUGUAAUAAUGGCAAAUCAAGGAUUAAAAGCCCCCAUUGGGGCACUGCGUUGUGGUGAGUGGUGACCGCAGGCUCAGCUCCAGUUAGAUCACCGGCCUCUGAUCAUGUAUCCGGACGGAGCGGUACGUGACCUAGGGCCUCGCCAUCCUCUUCCUCUCCCAAUCUCCCUACCCGAUCCAUUCUGUCCGCAGGUACCAAGCACCUACAAGUUACUGCUGCUGUAUUUGCUCAAGGCGUUGAAUUUGGAGACCUCCAUCAUCGACCGGCCGCAGGUAGCCUGCUGCAGCCCCCAUAAUCUUUGCUCCGUGAUCGAAGUUUGGUGUCAUAUCCAGCGCCUCUACCCUGUGUCUCUUGCCUAUUGCAUCAUGGACAAGUCCCCUGCUCUUAUCUAGCCUUUGACUGCAGCAAAGACCUUGCCCAUGAGUUGGUAAAUAACCAAUGGCGUCAAUCCUCAAUUAUUUCUCCUAAAUUAAUCUUGCCCUGUGGUUAAUUUUCUUUUUCUUCAUGCACCUCUAUUUUUUCUCAUACUGAGUUACCGAUUGUAGUGCUCGGCGAAAUUUGGAUUCUCCAUUGCUGCAGGUCCUCCCCCUCAUGGCAUCUGUACCAUGUAGCAUGCUGCUCCUUCUUUUUUGUGUGAAAUGUAGCAGUUUAUUUCUGAUUGCUCCGUUCCCAAUCCUCCUAUGUAUUAUCUUGCUACUUUAGCGUGAGGUUAUGCUACAUGAUUUGCAUAUUAUGUCCUCCCCCUCAUGGCAUCUAUACCACGUGGCAGGAUAUUCCUUUUUCUGUUUUGAGGGAAUCGUAGUAGGCUAUUGCUGAUAGCUCCAUUAGUAAUCCUCCUAUUAUCUGCAAUUUUACCAUAAGGUUGUGCUACAUGAUUUGCUUAUUACUUUUUGCAACGCCUUCUGUAGUUCUGUUCAGAGAUGGAUGAAAGAUCGAAUUAUUAUUCACCCCAUGGAUGCAUGUUUAUUGAUUUAUUUUUUGGGGUUUUUGUCAAAUUAUGCUGCCUGAUCAUUUCUUAUAUCAGAAUAACGAAGCAUAUAUGAUUGGACGUAUAUGAUUAAGGUACAGGAAACAGUAGGAUGUCUUAUACAAAUAAGUUAAUUUUAACAGGCACGCAUAAGAUAAUAAGGAAGAUGAUCACAUCAGAUUAUCGAGCCACUCUUGAGUAAUACAUAUUGCUUUCCUAACUCUAUGGAGUAACGCCAUAUAUAAUUCGUUUAAAAGUUUCCUUCCAAUUACCCAAAAGCCAAUGUGCCUCACCAUCAUGCUUCUGAUCUUACCAAAAUAUGAAGCGUCCAUUUGGUUUCCAAUUAUUUUUCUCAAAGUUUGUUCCUUAUUUCAAUUUCUGUCAAGACUGUCAAAGGCAACCCAUGUACAAAAGACCAAAUAGUUUAGAACCCAGUAAUUAAGCAUGAAGCGCUAAACAUGUUCUCACAAAAAACAUAGAUUAACUAGCUGCAUGGAUAAUAUGAUUUUCUCAUUAUUUAUUUUGCCAAUUAUAAAUCAUAUUUAUCAUGCAUGAAAAAAGAUACUUAUAUUAAAUAAAUACUUUACAAUUAUAUAAUAACACAUAUAUGUAUAUUCGGAUUUAGUUAUCAUAUUACUAAUCCAAAUAUUCAUCUUCAAUAAAAUCAAAUCACAUUAGUAUACUAGUAGAACGCCCGUGCGUUACCACGGGCUCUUAAUUUUUUUUAUUGCACCUAUGAAUACAAUACAUAUCAAAUUUGCAUGUAUAAAUUUUAUCUGAUUGCGCAUAUAAUGUAUAUUAUAUUUUGUAGGUAGAGAAAAGAUAGCCUGCAACAAUUAGAAAAUAAUUGAAAUCCAUUUCACCUGCAAUGUAACUCGGUGAUAUAUACAUAGAGAACAAUGAUCCAAAUAAUUAUAUGUUACAAACUAAGAUUUACUUGAUGUGAUUAAGAUAUUACCUUACGACGUCAGGUAUGUUGUCUUAAGCUUCAUUUGCAUGGUACUUUAGCAAAUGUAAUAAAAAAUUAUUUCUCAACUUUAUAACCAUCCUGCACAAGCAGUGUAUACUACAUGUCAAACAUAAAGCUUGGGAAGGAUAAAGCACAUCAAAUGACAUCUUUUAAUGAAACAUAGCCGACCUUUUUGUACCACAAAAUCAAUCUUAUUCCUUGGCCCAUUAUUUUUGAAGUGCUUUCUCUUGACUUCUCUUUUCUAUAUGCACAAAAAUCAAUAGAUCCAAAGAAGAGAAGGAUCCAGAGAUGUUCAUACCUAGAGGCAAUAAUCAAUUCGUUAGUCCACAACGACGACAAGUGCCAAGGCUCAUGCAUUUUAAGUCCAUAAUCCCAACCUACACCACAACCCAACAAAAGUCGACAUCUUCUUGCUCCAUUAAGAGCAUCUACAGCCGAACUUGGCAAAUUUGACCCCUCAAAUGUCCGCGGACACGCCCGGGCGUCUCCGCGGAUAGUGAAUGGUCACCCAUCAAAAAAAGCAUUCCACAUCCGGAUACCUCAAAUUAGAAAUUUCAAAUCCAUAUUAUUAGAUGCAACACAACGAUCUUUGACCGGAGCUUCGUCCGGUUUCGCUCCCGCCCGCCCGCUCUCCCUAGUCACAAAAAAGAUGUAUAAGGGAAGGGGCAGAUACAUCUUGUAGAGCCAUGAUCUGCCACAAUGCUAACCCACUACUUGUCAACAGACCAUGCGAGUCAUAUUUUCCUCUCCUCAUCAGAUGUGCCAUGUUCAAGUUCAAAUGUCAGUGCACAGUUUGUGAGAUUCAUAAAAAUGUCAGGGCACAGUUUGGAAUAAUUCAGUGAAAGUGAAGCCAAAUUAGAGAGGUGUACAUGUUACAUCAUCAUCAUUAGUUGAAUAAUAGCAUCUAAAAAUUCAACCGUUCGAAAGGAAAAUGCAUAUAUGUCAGGACUGCGCAUGCAAUAUACUCACAAGAUGUGAUAGAUUUGCCACCGACGCCCAUGAAUAAGGUUGUCGGCCACCCAAUGCACUUGUGUUGUCAAUGACCCUUCUCGUCAUCUUGUGUACCCCAAGUACAAUAGCAUGUAAUUGGACUGUUAGUAGACCUCGCUUUAUGGAAGCCAUUUUAGAGUUGAUGAACUACAACACUCAUGUUGUGGCCGCUUCGAGUGAAAAGUGUGACUAAUUAGUUUUCCAAAAGAAUCAAAUCAAGCCAACUAAUUUCACUUUGAAUAGCCACAUGAACAAUACCUGAGUUGUUGUUUGGAAAGCUUUGCUAGGAAUUUUUAUGCCCCACCCUUGAUCACAAACCAAUUUGUAUUCUGCCAGUCAAUGGAUCAUUGCUCUAAAGGGCUCUCUGAAGAAACCUUUUCACCAUGAGUUGAUCAUCCUUGGCUGCCGGAGCAUUUGGAUCACGAGAAAUGCAUCAAUCUUUAAAAACAAUCAGGCCAAGUGUUUACAAAUGCAAAGAAGGACAUUAAGGGUUGCUAGACCUACUGCUUCAUGGUUUGUCUGAAACAAUACACACAACUUUAUCUUCUAACCCAAAUGAAAACCUGGUAGGAGGCUUAUUUGGUCUUAAUCUUACUUGUUCUUUCCUGCCAUGACCAACACAUAACGCUUAUUAACAUUCCUGCAAGGAACAAUCCACUAGUGCAGAACCGGGCAAUAGCACCGGUUCAUAAGGCCCUUUAGUGCCGGUUUAGGAACCGGCACUAAAGUUUCGGCACNNNNNNNNNNNNNNNNNNNNNNNNNNNNNNNNNNNNNNNNNNNNNNNNNNNNNNNNNNNNNNNNNNNNNNNNNNNNNNNNNNNNNNNNNNNNNNNNNNNNNNNNNNNNNNNNNNNNNNNNNNNNNNNNNNNNNNNNNNNNNNNNNNNNNNNNNNNNNNNNNNNNNNNNNNNNNNNNNNNNNNNNNNNNNNNNNNNNNNNNNNNNNNNNNNNNNNNNNNNNNNNNNNNNNNNNNNNNNNNNNNNNNNNNNNNNNNNNNNNNNNNNNNNNNNNNNNNNNNNNNNNNNNNNNNNNNNNNNNNNNNNNNNNNNNNNNNNNNNNNNNNNNNNNNNNNNNNNNNNNNNNNNNNNNNNNNNNNNNNNNNNNNNNNNNNNNNNNNNNNNNNNNNNNNNNNNNNNNNNNNNNNNNNNNNNNNNNNNNNNNNNNNNNNNNNNNNNNNNNNNNNNNNNNNNNNNNNNNNNNNNNNNNNNNNNNNNNNNNNNNNNNNNNNNNNNNNNNNNNNNNNNNNNNNNNNNNNNNNNNNNNNNNNNNNNNNNNNNNNNNNNNNNNNNAUAUAUCAUCAAUGUCUCACAAACCAUAUUAAUUCACACAUACACACAUGUAUAGCUAUAUACAAUUUCUCCUACAUAUGCAUGUUGCCUUCGGAGCCAGUGGCAUUAGCCUAAUUGGUGCCUUCGGAGCACGAUGACAAUUGGAAGUGGUUCAUGGGGGCGGUAGCGGGUAAUAGUAUUCUCCCUUCGAAUUUAUGACCUGGUCGAGCAAAAAUCCCGCUAUUUCCUCUUGAAGUGCUUCUACGCGCUCUGUUUUUAGGAGCUUGUCCCGCACCUCUUUGAACUGUUCAGAAGGAGAUUAAUAUGCAUGUGUAUUAGUUGUGUGACUAGAUAUCGAUAAUGGUAUAAAAAUUGUGAAUAGUGUACUGACAAGCGUACCCAUUCCUGUCUUUGAGAUCUGCUCCUUUCGGACGCCAUCAUGCGAAUGUUCUCGCAAACGCAGAAUGCACACAGAUCAGUCCCCUGCGCCUGCUUCAGGGCCUUUAUUACGAGAAUGGAAUUUAAUUUGAUCAGAUAAUAAUUAAUCAAGCAUGAUAAUUAAAGAGAUGGCAGCUAGCUAGCUAGCUAGCUAGUACUACUUAAUUACUUACCUUGGAUCGAAACCAUUUCAGCUUUGGUUUCCAUUUGCCUUCCGUGACGCUGAUGAACCUUGCCCAAGCCCUGCCCGCCGACAAAGAAAAUGAAUAAAGGGGUUAUUAAAUAGUUCAUAUCAUGAAAUGACGAAUUACUAAAUAGGCCGAGAUAUAUAGUUAAUAAUGAUUGAAAUUACCUGUUGACUAUCCCAAACAAGAUGUUAUAGUCACUUUGUUUUUUAAGUAUCGAGUCCAGUAUUUCAACUGUUCCGGCGUCAACUUUAAUGAUACACAAGAUCCAAUGAAAUCUGCAUGCACACACGUUUGCAUGUCUUAAUUAAGCGGGCAUAUGUAAGCAAAAACAUGUAGCUAGCUAGCUAGUAGGCAAAAACAGAGAAUUUGUAGUACAAGAAAGUGUGACUCACUGGAAGUUGUAAGGAAGUAGUAUAUCUUCAUUCUAUUUGAGACGCUUCAAGAACUCUAGCAUGCUGUCCUCUACCUCUUUUUCUUGAUGCUUGUUCAUUUUCCAUGUGUAUUCAUUAACGGUGUUUGGGUCAAUGAACCCAAUGCCAUAGCGUCCACCUUUUCUCAUUUCAUACAUCUUCAUCCUGCAUAAUACCACAGAAAAGAAUAUAGUGAGGAUAAUUACGGGUAAUGAUUGAUCAAAAGGAUCACUACAGCUAGCUUGAGAUUUAAAUUACAGAAAGAAAUCACUUACAGACAAUAGCAACUGACGAUAGAUUUGUCGAGUGCGUCUUGAUUGUAUAACUGAAACAGUUUAGGAUACUCAACGGCCACAGCUUUCUCAUGGUAGUAAUCAUCCUUCUUGACAUCCACCAUGAGGGACUCUCGAUUGGAUCUCUUGGUAAUGUCCAUGUACCAUUGAUGGAAUUCAUACAUUUUUGUUGGGAGCUUGUUGACAUCUUCUGGCUCGACCAAAGGUUGGCCCCGGACAUAUUUCCGUUUUAUUUCCUCCUCUGUAAUCCCAGGCAUGUCCUCGAUCUCGAGGAGUUGUCCAACAGUGAUCUUGAGUUCUUCAGCCUGCAUUAUAUGCUCCUGGGUUAUUACCACAUCGCCCACCUCGAGAACGUAAACUGUUUGGCCACAAUAAUAUUGAGCGCGCAUACUGUCAUGUGUUGUUGGCGGCACAACAAGCAGGGGGGUCGAUUGCGCCCCCUGUUUUCCCAGCUGGGCAACGGUUUUCCCGGAUUUUUUGACAGCUGCUUGUUGUUUGCUCGAGCUCGAGCUCGCCUCCUUCUGUAGAUGUCGUCGAUGUAACUUCCUGAUGUGGCGCUCAUAGUCUGUGUCAACAGGCUUAGGAGCUGGUGGUUGAGCCAUACGAAUGAAGUGGUCAACUACUUCCACAGGCACUUUCUCCCUUGGCGGCGGUGGCGGUUUAGGUCCAAAAUGGGCGUCGACUUCUGCCUGCACUAUGGCAUUGGUUUGCUCCUCGGUCCUGUCGUAAGCCCUCACAUGAAGAGGAGUAGUGAGGUUUGGACCAUAUUUAUAUCGCUUGCCUCCGCUUGUACUUCCUGUACUAUGACCUCGACUCGUACCGCUACGCACCAUAGCUGCGGGGUGUCUCUUCUGCGAUUGCUGAGGCGGCGGAGACGGCUGACGGGGCUGAGUUGGACGAGGAGGAGUGGCCUGAAGCUGUGCCGGACUUGCAGUGGCCUGAGGUUGUGCCGGACUUGGAGGAGGAGUGGACGUCUGAUGUUGUGUCGGACUUGGAGGAGGAGUCACCUGACACUUUGCCGGACUUGGAGGAGGAGGAGUGGCCUCACGCGUUGGUGGACUUGGAGGAGCGGGAGUCUGCUGACUCGGUGGCGGACUUCGACGAGGAGUCGGGUGACGCGGUGUCGGUGGCCUUCGAAAGAUGAUGCAAUCCUUUCUCCAUAGGAUGACACGAUGUAUGGCCUCUCCCAAUGUGUGCUCGUCGUCACCUCCAGGAAUGUCAAGCUGUAGCUCCGAAUAUGGGUCCACCACCUCAUCAACCAAGACACGAGCAUAGCCCGCUGGAAUCGGGUUGCAAUGGAAGGUUGCCUCCGGGGAAUUUGAAAAAGCAACGGCGUCCGCCACCUUCAUGGGUAUGUUCUUCAUUUUGAAGUGUAGCUCGCAGUUAGUGUUCUCCGUGAUGUCAUCCACGGGGUAUCUAUCCAGCACUACUGCGUCGCCCGGGGUGGAACCCACGCUGCUUUUCGGCAUGGAUGGGGCGGUAGUAUUCAAUGCUGGAUCAUCCACUAGCUGCUGCAGAUGCUGAGACCCCCUUUGCUGGCUAAGUGAGUCGAUCUGCUCCUGCUGCCGCUGGAAUUUAGCUGCCAAUUCUGCUUGACUUGCUUCUAGGCCUUGAAGGCGUUCAUAGUCCCGCUUCCUCUGCUCCUCCUCCAUCUUCCUCUUCUUCUCCUCCGCAAUCUUCUUUCUCGCACGGGUUCUGUAGUCGGCGUUCCAGUCCGAAAACCCCUCAUACCACGGAAGAGUGCCCUUGCCUCGUGUUCUUCCCGGGUGUUCAGGAUUUCCCAGGGCACGCGUAAGCUCGUCGUUCUCUCUGUUGGGCUGGAACACCCUCGAUCGAGCCUCUUCUAUUGCAACAAGUAGCGCAUCAUGGGCUCCGUUCAGACAUGCCUUCAUCGAAACAUUGCCUGUCUUCGGGUCCAACUCCCCCCAUGCGCAUAGAACCAAGUCCUGCACCUGGGGGGCCAGCUCUUAGUAACCGGAGUGACACUUGCAUCCUCCAUUGCUUUGUCAGACUUAUCCCACUUAGGCAUUGCCACCGCGUAGCCACCUGGCCCCAGCUUAUGGAACUUAUCAUUUUUUCGGCAUUCUUCUUGUUUAUUCUCGACCGUUCCUUAGCUAAUUCUGAAUCCUUGAAUUUCACAAAAUCGUCCCAAUGAGCACUUUGAUUCUCUAGUAUCCCCUCGAAUACUGAGUCUUCCUUCCUCCCUUGACGUACUUCUCCCACGUCGUUCUCUUGUGGUUCUUGAAUGCAACCGCCAUCUUCCUAAAAGCAGCAUCCUUGACUUUCCGCACAUCUGCUUCUGUGAAAUUAUCUGGUAGGGUGAAAUGUUCCAUGAGAGUAUCCCAAAGCAGUUUUUUUUAUUCUCGUCGACAAAAGUAACAUUUGGACGUGGCUUUGCUGGCUUUCUCCAUUCUUGAAGGGAGAUCGGGAGUUGGUCCUUCACAAGAACUCCGCACUGACGAACGAACUUGUCCGCAAUCUUCUUAGGCGCUAAUGGUUCGCCAUUAGGUUUGAAUGCCUCGAUAUUAUACUUUACGCCCUCCUUCAACUUUUUGUUCGGGCCUCAUUUCAUCCUUUUGCCUGAAGAUUUGCUCGAUCCGGAUGGCUGAAAGAAGAAAGAUCGAUUCGUUAAUAUAUCUUCAACUCAUUUAAAACAUGUGAUGAUCACCAGAUUCCUGCUUAUAUAAAUAUAUAUACCUCGCCGGUGUUUGUUGUUUCAGGAUCAACAUGUUCUUCGUCGUAGUUCAUGACUUCAUCUUCUCGGUCGUCGCGAUCGAAUAUCAUAUCACCCUCUCCGGUGUUGUUUAGAAAUUCGGAGCCGUCAAAAUCUUCUUCAUUCUGAUCAUCAUCUGGCCCGCGUAUGAUAUCGAACAUGGUCUGUUCUCUCUCUCUGUCGGUAUUGUCCGCCAUAGCUUUUAUUUAACUAUGCCAAAAGAAAUAUAAAACAAUUUAGUAUAAUCUCGAAUAAUAGAUAUAAUCUCGAAUACAUCGUCUCGAAUAAUAGAUAUAAUCUCGAAUACAUCGUCUCGAAUAAUAAAUUUAAUCUUGAAUACGUCGUCUCGAAUAAUAGAUAUAAUCUCGAAUACAUCGUAUCAAAUAAUAUAUAUAAUCUCGAAUAAAUCAUCUCGAAUAUUAUAUAUCGAAUACAUCACUAGCUAGCUAGCUAGCUAAUAAAGAUCGAAUACUAGAGAGUAAUCUAGGCGGUGGACAACCAAAGUGAAGGAACCAUCACUGGAUCAUAGCUCGGGUGAUCUCCCCAAAGAACCUACCAGGUAUUGGAGAACCUGACGUACAUAGCAGCCAUGUAGCGAUGGACGUGCUCGUCCUCCUCCCUGACACGACGACGUACCACCUCCCGCGGGGCCGGCUCCCUCCGCACCGAAAGUGGCCCACGCGAAUGCCACCAAAGGAGAUGAGGGUCGACGACGGGACCCGGGGCCGGGUUCCUCACCAAGCGUCACGCCCCUGAAGGUAGCACCUCCCAGUGCCAGCCCGGCGGAGCCCAGUCCCGGACAUGGGUCCUCUGAAGCAGGACGUCGUCGCAAACGGGUCGACGGCGAGGAUGCGGGCCGGGCAUCGUCGACAACAAAUACUAUAUGCAAAUGUAACACUAAUUAUGCUAUCAUUGCAUAUGUCAAAAUUCUAUAUGCUAUUUCAUACUAAUUACGCGUCUAACACUAAAAAGAGAAAAAACAACUUCUAUACAUCCAUUAAAAACAGAAAAACAACAUUAUAUAAAAAAAUUCCAUACUAAUUAAACACUAAUUAUAUCCAUCUAACAUGCAUUCAUACAUAUAUACUAGUGAAAAAAUAAUAAUCUGAAAAAUCUAAACUAAUUAAACAUACAAAAUACGUAUAUACUAAUUAACUUAAGGAAAUGUGCGUGUGUGUGUGUUCAUCAUGCUUGUGUGUGUGUAUGGGCUCGGGGAGGGGCGGCGCCCAUGGUGGCCACCGGGGGCGAGGGAGAGGGGUUAGAGGGGGAGAGCUCACAGCGGGGCGACGGCGAGGCGACGGCCGGGGGCGGCGACGGGCCGGGGCGUGACGGGGCGGCGACGCGGGGACNNNNNNNNNNNNNNNNNNNNNNNNNNNNNNNNNNNNNNNNNNNNNNNNNNNNNNNNNNNNNNNNNNNNNNNNNNNNNNNNNNNNNNNNNNNNNNNNNNNNNNNNNNNNNNNNNNNNNNNNNNNNNNNNNNNNNNNNNNNNNNNNNNNNNNNNNNNNNNNNNNNNNNNNNNNNNNNNNNNNNNNNNNNNNNNNNNNNNNNNNNNNNNNNNNNNNNNNNNNNNNNNNNNNNNNNNNNNNNNNNNNNNNNNNNNNNNNNNNNNNNACCAACCGGUACUAAAGGCCUGUUUUAGUACCGGUUGGUGGCUCCAACCGGUACUAAAGGCCCCCCCCUUAGUACCGGUUGGUGCCACGACCCGGUACUAAAGGGUGUGCGCUGCCAGGCGAGGGGCGUAGAAGUUUAAUCCCACCUCGCUAGCCGAAGGGCGCUCACACCUGCUUAUAAACCCCGCCGCCGCUGCUGUCUCGAGCUCCUCUCUAAAGCAGGCCUUCUGGGCCUACCUCUGCUACUCUGCCCUGUGGGGCCUAUUGGGCUUGCGGGCCUGCAUCCUGGCCCAACAACAGGUUGGGUUUCUAGUCGUAUGCAGGCCGUUGUGGCCCAGUAGGUGGGCUUUUUUCAUUUAGUUUUUUUCUUUUCUGCUUUAUUUAUUUUGUUUUAUUUAUUUUUAGUUGUUUUUUGCUGUAUUUAGAGUUUCUUUGUGAAUAUUUUUGAUAGUUUUUAGAAACUUUCAGUUAGUGCCGGUAGUUUUUAAAUUUGAAUAGUUUAAAUUUUGAAUUAUUUGAAAUUUGUGUGAAUCACUAGUUUGUGAAUAACUUAACUUUAAAAAUACAUUUUCGAGUGAUUCUUUUUUCUUAUAUUUAAUAUUAGUGUGUUUUAUCAUUAUAUUCAAUUUGGUAAUGCUUAAGUUAUUUAAAAAAUGAAAUGCCUUUGUAACGGAUGAGUUUUCGUCCGAAACCCUGAUACUUCGAAACAGAUUGUCCAUUUUGUACACGAAGUGCAUCCAGUUUUUGCGGUAACCCUCUCUACUUUUUUGCACAUGCUACGUAGGUGAAAUUAUGAUACCAUGCCAAAUUUUAUCCUUUUCUGAGUUCAUUUGAAAUGCUUUUCAAUUUCAGGGUCAUUUAGCUGAAAAAAUCAGUAAAUGCAUGAAAGAAUUUGCUUGCACAUAAAAUUUCUUCGCGUUUCAAAUGCCAAAACACAUAACUAGCUACCAUAACUAUUACAGAGAUUCCUUCCUGGGUGUGAAACACAGAAGAAAGUGAUGAUAGUUAAGCCGAUCACAUCCCAGAUCUUUGGGUGUGAAACUUUUUCUUCGUGUGUGUCCCUUUGCGUCGUAGCCAUGGAAAAUCUUCAUCAUUUAACGGGAUGCUCGGGUCAAUAUUCACUGUGAAUGGAGCAAUUUCAUCAAACUUUUCAUAAUCUUCUGACUUGUCUGUCUUGUCAUCCACUCCCACGAUGUUUCUCUUCCCAGAAAGAACUAUGUGCCGCUUUGGCUCAUCGUACGAUGCAUUCGCUUCCUUAUCUUUUCUUUUUCUUGGCUUGGUAAACAUGUCCUUCACAUAGAAAACCUGUGCCACAUCAUUGGCUAGGACGAAUGGUUCGUCUGCAUAUGCAAGAUUGUUGAGAUCCACUGUUGUCAUUCCGUACCGCGGGUCUUCCGUUACCCCGCCUCGUGUCAUAUUGACCCAUUUGCACCGAAACAAAGGGACCUUCAAACCACAUCGAUAGUCAAGUUCCCAUAUGUCCUGUAUAUAACCAUAAUAUGUUUCCUUUCCCGUCUUGGUUUCUGCAUCAAAGCGGACACCACUGUUUUGGUUGGUGCUCUUCUUAUCUUGGGCGAUCGUGUAAAAUGUAUUACCAUUUAUCUCGUACCCUUUGAAAGUCAUUAUAUUCGAAGAUGGUAACUGGGACAGCAAGUACAAGUCAUCUUCAAUAGAGGUGUCUGUUGGAAAUAUGCCCUAGAGGCAAUAAUAAAAGCAUUAUUAUUAUAUUUCCUUGUUCAUGAUAAUUGUCUUUAUUCAUGCUAUAAUUGUGUUAUCCGGAAAUCGUAAUACAUGUGUGAAUAACAGACAUCAACAUGUCCCUAGUGAGCCUCUAGUUGACUAGCUCGUUGAUCAACAGAUAGUCAUGGUUUCCUGACUAUGGACACUGGAUGUCAUUGAUAACGAGAUCACAUCAUUAGGAGAAUGAUGUGAUGGACAAGACCCAAUCCUAAACAUAGCACAAGAUCGUAUAAGUUCGUUUGCUAGAGUUUUCCAAUGUCAAGUAUCUUUUCCUUAGACCAUGAGAUCGUGUAACUCCCGGAUACCGUAGGAGUGCUUUGGGUAUGCCAAACGUCACAACGUAACUGGGUGACUAUAAAGGUAGACUACGGGUAUCUCCGAAAGUGUCUGUUGGGUGACAUGGAUCAAGACUGGGAUUUGUCACUCCGUAUGACGGAGAGGUAUCACUGGGCCCACUCGGUAAUGCAUCAUCAUAAUGAGCUCAGAGUGACCAAGUGUCUGGUCACGGGAUCAUGCAUUGCGGUACGAGUAAAGUGACUUGCUGGUAACGAGAUUGAACGAGGUAUUGGGAUACCGACGAUCGAAUCUCGGGCAAGUAACAUAUCGAUAGACAAAGGGAAUAGCGUACGGGGUUGAUAGGAUCCUCGACAUCGUGGUUCAUCCGAUGAGAUCAUCGUGGAGCAUGUGGGAGCCAACAUGGGUAUCCAGAUCCCGCUGUUGGUUAUUGACCGGAGAGUCGUCUCGGUCAUGUCUGCUUGUCUCCCGAACCCGUAGAGUCUACACACUUAAGGUUCAGUUACGCUAGGGUUGUAGGGAUAUGUAUAUGCAGUAACCCGAAUGUUGUUCGGAGUCCCGGAUGAGAUCCCGGACGUCACGAGGAGUUCCGGAAUGGUCCGGAGGUAAAGAUUUAUAUAUGGGAAGUCCUGUUUCGGGCAUCGGGACAAGUUUCGGGGUUAUCGGUAUUGUACCGGGACCACCGGAAGGGUCCCGGGGGUCCACCGGGUGGGUCCACCUGUCCCGGGGGGGCCACAUGGGCUGUAGGGGGUGCGCCUUGGCCUAAUGGGCCAAGGGCACCAGCCCCACAUAGGCCCAUGCGCCUAGGGUUUUAAGGGGAAAGAGUCCUAGGAGGGGAAGGCACCUCCUAGGUGCCUUGGGGGGGAGGGAAACCCCCCUUGGCCGCCGCACCCCCUAGGAGAUUGGAUCUCCUAGGGCCGGCCACCCCCCCCUUGGCCCUCCUAUAUAUAGUGGGGGAGAGGAGGGACUUCAUACCUGAACGCCUUGGCCUUUGGUUGCCUCCUUCUCCCUCUCCAACACCUCCUCCACCUCCAUAGUGCUUGGCGAAGCUCUGCCGGAGUACUGCAGCUCCAUCAACACCACGCCGUCGUGCUGCUGCUGGUGCCAUCUCCCUCAACCUCUCCUCCCUCCCUUGCUGGAUCAAGAAGGAGGAGACGUGGCUGUUCCGUACGUGUGUUGAACGCGGAGGUGCCGUCCGUUCGGCGCUGGUCAUCGGUGAUUUGGAUCAUGUCGAGUAUGACUACAUCAUCACCGUUCUUUUGAACGCUUCCGCUCGUGAUCUACAAAGGUAUGUAGAUGCAUCUAAUCACUCGUUGCUAGAUGAACUCCUAGAUGAUCUUGGUGAAACGAGUAGGAAAAUUUUUGUUUUCUGCAACGUUCCCCAACAGUGGCAUCAUGAGCUAGGUCUAUGCGUAGUUCUUCUUGCGCGAGUAGAACACAAUUUGUUGUGGGCGUAGAUUUGUCAACUCUCUUGCCGUUACUAGUCCUUUCUUGCUUCAGCGGUAUUGUGGGAUGAAGCGGCCCGGACCAACCUUACACGUACGCUUACGUGAGACCGAUUCCACCGACUAACAUGCACUAGAUGCAUAAGGUGGCUGGCGGGUGUCUGUCUCUCCUACUUUAGUUGGAGCGGAAUCGAUGAACAGGGUCCUUAUGAAGGGUAAAUAGAAGUUGACAAAUCACGUUGUGGCUUUAACGUAGGUAAGAAGACGUUCUUGCUAGAACCCUAAUUCAGCCACGUAAAACUUGCAACAACAAUUAGAGGACGUCUAACUUGUUUUUGCAGCAAGUGGUUUGUGAUAUGAUAUGGCCAAAGUUGUGAUGAAUGAUGAAUGAUCUAUAUGUGAUGUAUGAGAUGUUCAUGCUAUUGUAAUAGGAUUCACGACUUGCAUGUCGAUGAGUAUGACAACCGGCAGGAGCCAUAGGAGUUGUCUUUAUUCUUUUAAUGACUUGCGUGUCAUCGAGAAACGCCAUGUAAAUUACUUUACUUUAUUGCUAAACGUGUUAGCCAUAGUAGUAGAAGUAAUAGUUGGCGAGCAACUUCAUGGAGACACGAUGAUGGAGAUCAUGAUGAUGGAGAUCAUGGUGUCAAGCCGGUGACAAGAUGAUCAUGGAGCCCCAAGAUGGAGAUCAAAGGAGCUAUGUGAUAUUGGCCAUAUCAUGUCACGUUUAUUAUUUGAUUGCAUGUGAUGUUUAUCAUGUUUUGCAUCUUGUUUACUUAGAACGACGGUAGUAAAUAAGAUGAUCCCUCACAAUAAAUUCAAGAAGUGUUCCCCCUAACUGUGCACCGUUGCGACAGUUCGCUGUUUCAAAACACCACGUGAUGAUCGGGUGUUUUAUUCAGACGUUCACAUACAACGGGUGUAAGACAGAUUUACACAUGCAAACACUUAGGUUGACUUGACGAGCCUAGCAUGUACAGACAUGGCCUCGGAACACAGAAGACCGAAAGGUCGAGCAUGAGUCGUAUAGAAGAUACGAUCAACAUGAAGAUGUUCACCAAUGUUGACUAGUCCGUCUCACGAGAUGAUCGGACACGGUCUAGUUUAACUCGGAUCAUGUAAUACUUAGAUGACUAGAGGGAUGUCUAAUCUAAGUGGGAGUUCACUAAUAAUUUGAUUAGUUGAACUUAAUUAUCAUGAGCUUAGUCUAAAAUCUUUGCAAUAUGUCUUGUAGAUCAAAUGGCCAACGUAGUCCUCAACUUCAACGCGUUCCUAGAGAAAACUAAGCUGAAAGACGAUGGCAGCAACUAUACGGACUGGGUCCGGAACCUGAGGAUCAUCCUCAUAGCUGCCAAGAAAUAUUAUGUCCUACAAGCACCGCUUGGUGACGCACCCAUUCUCCCUGCAGAACAAGAUGUUAUGAACGCUUGGCAGGCACGUUUCGAUGACUACUCCCUCGUUCAGUGCGGCAUGCUUUACAGCUUAGAGCCGGGGCUCCAAAAGCGUUUUGAGAGACAUGGAGCAUAUGAGAUGUUCGAAGAGCUGAAAAUGGUUUUCCAAGCUCAUGCCCGGGUCGAGAGAUAUGAAGUCUCCGACAAAUUCUUCAGCUGUAAGAUGGAGGAAAACAGUUCUGUCAAUGAGCACAUACUCACUAUGUCUGGGUUGCAUAACCGCUUGACUCAGCUGGGAGUUAAUCUCCCGGAUGAUGCGGUCAUUGACAGAAUCCUCCAGUCGCUUCCACCAAGCUACAAGAGCUUUGUGAUGAACUUCAAUAUGCAGGGGAUGGAAAAGACCAUUCCUGAAGUAUUUGCUAUGCUGAAAUCAGCAGAGGUAGAAGUCAGGAAGGAACAUCAAGUGUUGAUGGUCAAUAAAACCACUAAGUUCAAGAAAGGCAAGGGUAAAAAGAACUUCAAGAAGGACGGCAAGGAGGUUGCCGCGCCCGGCAAGCAAGCUGCCGGGAAGAAGCCAAGGAAUGGACCCAAGCCCGAGACUGAGUGCUUUUAUUGCAAGGGAAGCGGUCACUGGAAGCGGAACUGCCCUAAGUACUUAGCGGAUAAGAAGGCCGGCAAAACCAAAGGUAUAUGUGAUAUACAUGUAAUUGAUGUGUACCUUACUAGUGCCCGUAGUGGCUCCUGGGUAUUUGAUACCGGUGCAGUUGCUCACAUUUGUAACUCAAAGCAGGGGCUGCGGAAUAAGCGGAAACUGGCAAAGGACGAGGUGACGAUGCGCAUCGGGAAUGGUUCCAAGGUCAAUGUGAUCGCCGUCGGCACGCUACCUCUGCAUCUCCCUUCGGGAUUAGUUUUAAACCUUAAUAAUUGUUAUUUAGUGCCAGCUUUGAGCAUGAACAUUGUAUCGGGAUCUCGUUUAAUUCGAGAUGGCUACUCUUUUAAAUCUGAGAAUAAUGGUUGUUCCAUUUUUAUGAGAGAUAUGUUUUAUGGUCAUGCUCCUAUGGUGAAUGGUUUAUUCCUUAUGAAUCUCGAACGUGAUGCUACACAUAUUCAUAAUGUGAGUACCAAAAGAAGUAAGGUUGAUAAUGAUAGUCCCACAUACCUGUGGCACUGCCGCCUUGGUCACAUAGGUGUCAAACGCAUGAAGAAGCUCCAUGCUGAUGGACUUUUAGAGUCUCUUGAUUAUGAAUCAUUUGACACGUGCGAACCAUGCCUUAUGAGUAAAAUGACCAAGACUCCAUUCUCAGGAACAAUGGAGCGAGCAACCGACUUAUUGGAAAUCAUACAUACUGAUGUGUGCGGUCCGAUAAGUGUUGAGGCUCGCGGUGGCUAUCGUUAUGUUCUCACCCUCACUGAUGAUUUAAGUAGGUAUGGGUAUAUCUACUUAAUGAAACACAAGUCUGAAACCUUUGAAAAGUUCAAGGAAUUUCAGAGUGAGGUUGAAAAUCAACGUGACAGGAAAAUCAAGUUUCUACGAUCAGAUCGUGGAGGAGAAUACUUGAGUCACGAGUUUGGGGCACACUUAAGAAAAUGUGGAAUAGUUUCACAACUCACGCCGCUUGGAACACCUCAGCGUAAUGGUGUGUCCGAACGUCGUAAUCGCACUCUGUUAGAUAUGGUGCGAUCUAUGAUGUCUCUUACCGAUUUACCGCUUUCUUUUUGGGGCUAUGCUUUAGAGACUGCCGCAUUCACUUUAAAUAGGGCUCCGUCGAAAUCCGUUGAGACGACACCGUAUGAAUUAUGGUUUGGGAAGAAACCUAAGCUGUCGUUUCUAAAAGUUUGGGGAUGCGAUGCUUAUGUCAAGAAACUUCAACCUGAAAAGCUCGAACCCAAGUCGGAAAAAUGCGUCUUCAUAGGAUACCCAAAAGAAACUAUUGGGUACACCUUCUACCUCAGAUCCGAAGGCAAGAUCUUUGUUGCCAAGAAUGGGUCCUUUCUAGAGAAAGAGUUUCUCUCGAAAGAAGUAAGUGGGAGGAAAGUAGAGCUUGAUGAAGUAUUACCUCUUGAGCCAGAAAAUGGCGCAACUCAAGAAAAUGUUCCUGAGGUGCCUGCACCGACUGGAGAGGAAAUUAAUGACAAUGAUCAAGAUACUUCUGAUCAAGCCCCUACUAAAAUUCGAAGGUCCACAAGGACACGUUCCGCACCAGAGUGGUACGGCAACCCUGUCUUGGAAAUCAUGCUGUUAGACAACGGUGAACCUUCGAACUAUGAAGAAGCGAUGGCGGGCCCGGAUUCCGACAAGUGGCUGGAAGCCAUGAAAUCCGAGAUAGGAUCCAUGUAUGAAAACGAAGUAUGGACUUUGACUGACUUGCCUGUUGAACGGCGAGCCAUAGAAAAUAAAUGGAUCUUUAAGAGGAAGACAGACGCGGAUGGUAAUGUGACCAUCUAUAAAGCUCGGCUUGUCGCUAAGGGUUAUCGACAAGUUCAAGGGGUUGACUACGAUGAGACUUUCUCACCGGUAGCGAAGCUGAAGUCCGUCCGAAUCAUGUUAGCAAUUGCCGCAUUCUAUGAUUACGAUAUAUGGCAAAUGGACGUCAAAACGGCAUUCCUUAAUGGUUUCCUUAAGGAAGAAUUGUAUAUGAUGCAGCCGGAAGGUUUUGUCGAUCCUAAGAAUGCUGACAAAGUGUGCAAGCUCCAACGCUCGAUUUAUGGGCUGGUGCAAGCAUCUCGGAGUUGGAACAUUCGCUUUGAUGAGAUGAUCAAAGCGUUUGGGUUUACACAGACUUAUGGAGAAGCCUGCGUUUACAAGAAAGUGAGUGGGAGCUCUGUAGCAUUUCUCAUAUUAUAUGUAGAUGACAUACUAUUGAUGGGAAAUGAUAUAGAACUCUUGGACAGCAUCAAGGCCUACUUGAAUAAAAGUUUUUCAAUGAAGGACCUUGGAGAAGCUGCUUAUAUAUUAGGCAUCAAAAUCUAUAGAGAUAGAUCGAGACGCCUCAUAGGUCUUUCACAAAGCACAUACCUUGAUAAGAUAUUGAAGAAGUUCAAUAUGGAUCAAUCCAAGAAGGGGUUCUUGCCUGUGUUACAAGGUGUGAAAUUGAGCUCAGCUCAAUGUCCGACCACGGCAGAAGAUAUAGAAGAGAUGAGCGUCAUCCCCUAUGCCUCAGCCAUAGGUUCUAUAAUGUAUGCCAUGCUGUGUACCAGACCUGAUGUAAACCUUGCCGUAAGUUUGGUAGGAAGGUACCAAAGUAAUCCCGGCAAGGAACACUGGACAGCGGUCAAGAAUAUCCUGAAGUACCUGAAAAGGACUAAGGAAAUGUUUCUCGUUUAUGGAGGUGACGAAGAGCUCGUCGUAAAGGGUUACGUCGACGCUAGCUUCGACACAGAUCUGGAUGACUCUAAGUCACAAACCGGAUACGUGUAUAUUUUGAAUGGUGGGGCAGUAAGCUGGUGCAGUUGCAAGCAAAGCGUCGUGGCGGGAUCUACAUGUGAAGCGGAGUACAUGGCAGCCUCGGAGGCAGCACAUGAAGCAAUAUGGGUGAAGGAGUUCAUCACCGACCUAGGAGUCAUACCCAAUGCGUCGGGGCCGAUCAAGCUCUUCUGUGACAACACUGGAGCUAUUGCACUUGCCAAGGAGCCCAGGUUUCACAAGAAGACAAGGCACAUCAAGCGUCGCUUCAACUCCAUUCGUGAAAAUGUUCAAGAUGGAGACAUAGAGAUUUGUAAAGUACAUACGGACCUAAAUGUAGCGGAUCCGUUGACUAAACCUCUCCCUAGAGCAAAACAUGAUCAACACCAGAAUUCCAUGGGUGUUCGAUUCAUCACAAUGUAACUAGAUUAUUGACUCUAGUGCAAGUGGGAGACUGUUGGAAAUAUGCCCUAGAGGCAAUAAUAAAAGCAUUAUUAUUAUAUUUCCUUGUUCAUGAUAAUUGUCUUUAUUCAUGCUAUAAUUGUGUUAUCCGGAAAUCGUAAUACAUGUGUGAAUAACAGACAUCAACAUGUCCCUAGUGAGCCUCUAGUUGACUAGCUCGUUGAUCAACAGAUAGUCAUGGUUUCCUGACUAUGGACACUGGAUGUCAUUGAUAACGAGAUCACAUCAUUAGGAGAAUGAUGUGAUGGACAAGACCCAAUCCUAAACAUAGCACAAGAUCGUAUAAGUUCGUUUGCUAGAGUUUUCCAAUGUCAAGUAUCUUUUCCUUAGACCAUGAGAUCGUGUAACUCCCGGAUACCGUAGGAGUGCUUUGGGUAUGCCAAACGUCACAACGUAACUGGGUGACUAUAAAGGUAGACUACGGGUAUCUCCGAAAGUGUCUGUUGGGUGACAUGGAUCAAGACUGGGAUUUGUCACUCCGUAUGACGGAGAGGUAUCACUGGGCCCACUCGGUAAUGCAUCAUCAUAAUGAGCUCAGAGUGACCAAGUGUCUGGUCACGGGAUCAUGCAUUGCGGUACGAGUAAAGUGACUUGCUGGUAACGAGAUUGAACGAGGUAUUGGGAUACCGACGAUCGAAUCUCGGGCAAGUAACAUAUCGAUAGACAAAGGGAAUAGCGUACGGGGUUGAUAGGAUCCUCGACAUCGUGGUUCAUCCGAUGAGAUCAUCGUGGAGCAUGUGGGAGCCAACAUGGGUAUCCAGAUCCCGCUGUUGGUUAUUGACCGGAGAGUCGUCUCGGUCAUGUCUGCUUGUCUCCCGAACCCGUAGGGUCUACACACUUAAGGUUCAGUUACGCUAGGGUUGUAGGGAUAUGUAUAUGCAGUAAUCCAAAUGUUGUUCGGAGUCCCGGAUGAGAUCCCGGACGUCACGAGGAGUUCCAGAAUGGUCCGGAGGUAAAGAUUUAUAUAUGGGAAGUCCUGUUUCGGGCAUCGGGACAAGUUUCGGGGUUAUCGGUAUUGUACCGGGACCACCGGAAGGGUCCCGGGGGUCCACCGGGUGGGUCCACCUGUCCCGGGGGGGCCACAUGGGCUGUAGGGGGUGCGCCUUGGCCUAAUGGGCCAAGGGCACCAGCCCCACAUAGGCCCAUGCGCCUAGGGUUUUAAGGGGAAAGAGUCCUAGGAGGGGAAGGCACCUCCUAGGUGCCUUGGGGGGAAGGGAAACCCCCCUUGGCCGCCGCACCCCCUAGGAGAUUGGAUCUCCUAGGGCCGGCCACCCCCCCUUGGCCCUCCUAUAUAUAGUGGGGGAGAGGAGGGACUUCAUACCUGAACGCCUUGGCCUUUGGUUGCCUCCUUCUCCCUCUCCAACACCUCCUCCACCUCCAUAGUGCUUAGCGAAGCUCUGCCGGAGUACUGCAGCUCCAUCAACACCACGCCGUCGUGCUGCUGCUGGUGCCAUCUCCCUCAACCUCUCCUCCCUCCCUUGCUGGAUCAAGAAGGAGGAGACGUGGCUGUUCCGUACGUGUGUUGAACGCGGAGGUGCCGUCCGUUCGGCGCUGGUCAUCGGUGAUUUGGAUCACGUCGAGUACGACUACAUCAUCACCGUUCUUUUGAACGCUUCCGCUCGUGAUCUACAAAGGUAUGUAGAUGCAUCUAAUCACUCAUUGCUAGAUGAACUCCUAGAUGAUCUUGGUGAAACGAGUAGGAAAAUUUUUGUUUUCUGCAACGUUCCCCAACAGUGUCAUGCAUGGUACGUGCUUGCAACCAGCUGGCGAAACUCCUGGUUUGUUCACGUGUAAUCCAGUCAUCAGACCGCUCCGGGUGUUUGGAGCGUAGCAAAUUCUUGUAUUCAUCCAUAUACGGAGCCACCAAGGCGGAAUUCUGUAGAACUGUGUAGUGUGCUUCAGUGAGAGAAUGUCCGUCCAUACAUAUUAUUUGUUCCCCUCCCAGCGUGCCUUUUCCAUCCAGUCUGCCCUUAUGCCGCGAUUCAGGAACACCAAUCGGCUUAAGGUCAGGAAUAAAGUCAAUACAAAACUCAAUGACCUCCUCAUUUUGACGGCCCUUGGAGAUGCUUCCUUCUGGCCUAGCACGGUUAUGAACAUAUUUCUUUAAGACUCCCAUGAACCUCUCAAAGGGGAACAUAUUGUGUAGAAAUACAGGACCCAAAACGUUAAUCUCUUCGCAUAGGUGAACUAGGACGUGCGUCAUGAUGUUGAAGAAGGAUGGUGGGAACACCAACUCGAAACUGACAAGACAUUGCACCAAAUCAUUCUGUAACCUUGGUAUGAUUUCUGGAUCGAUUACCUUCUGAGAGAUUGCAUUGAGAAAUGCACAUAGCUUCACAAUGGCUAAUCGAACAUUUUCCGGUAGAAGCCCCCUCAAUGCAACCGGAAGCAGUUGCGUCAUAAUCACGUGGCAGUCAUGAGACUUUAGGUUCUGGAACUUUUUCUCUGCCAUGUUUAUUAUUCCCUUUAUAUUCGACGAGAAGCCAGAUGGUACCUUAAUACUGAGCAGGCAUUCAAAGAAGAUUUCCUUCUCUUCUUUGGUAAGAGCGUAGCUUGCAUGACCCUGAUGUAUGCCGUCUUUUUCGUGCAUACGUUGCUGGUCCUCCCGUGCCUCAGGUGUAUCUUUUGUCUUCCCAUACACGCCCAAGAAGCCAAGCAGGGUCACACAAAGAUUCUUCAUCACGUGCAUCACGUCGAUUGCGGAGCGGACCUCGAGGUCUUUCCAAUAGGGCAGGUCCCAAAAUAUAGAUUUCUUCUUCCACAUGGGUGCGCGUCCGUCAGUGUCAUUCGGAACAGGUUGUCCACCAGGACCCUUUCCAAAGACCACCUUCAAAUCCUUGACCAUAUCAUGUACAUCAGCACCAGUACAGUGGCGAGGCUUCAUCCGGUGAUCCGCCUCACUUUUGAAAUGCUUGCCUUUCUUUCUUACGGGAUGCCUGCUCGGAAGAAAUCGACGAUGUCCCAGGUACACAUUCUUAUUAGCCAAAUAUAUAAUGUCGGUAUCGUCCAAACAGUGCGUGCAUGCGCGGUAUCCCUUGUUUGUCUGUCCUGAAAGGUUACUAUGAGCAGGCCAAUCAUUGAUGGUCACGAACAGCAACGCCUUUAGGUUAAAUUCUUCCCCCAUGUGCUCAUCCCACGCACGUACACCUGUUCCAUUCCACAGUUGUAAGAGUUCUUCAACUAAUGGCCUUAGGUACACAUCAAUGUCGUUGCCGGGUUGCUUAGGGCCUUGGAUGAGCACUGGCAUCAUAAUGAACUUCCGCUUCAUGCACAACCAAGGAGGAAGGUUAUAAAAACAUAGAGUCACAGGCAAGGUUCUAUGGUUGCUGCUCUGCUCCCCAAAAGGAUUAAUGCCAUCUGCGCUUAGACCAAACCAUACGCUCCUUGCGUCAUCUGCAAACUCCUUCCCGUACUUUCUUUCGAUUUUUCUCCACUGCGACCCGUCAGCGAGUACUCUCAACUUUCCGUCUUUCUUACGGUCUUCUCUGUGCCAUCGCAUCGCCUUGGCAUGCUCUUUGUUUUGGAACAAACGUUUCAACCGUGGUAUUAUAGGAGCAUACCACAUCACCUUGGCAGGAAUCUUCUUCCUGGGGCGCCGGCCCUCGACAUCAUCAGGGUCAUCGCGGCUGAUCUUAUAGCGCAAUGCACCACAUACCGGGCAAGCGUUCAAAUCCUCGUACUCACCACGGUAGAGGAUGCAAUCAUUAGGGCAUGCAUGUAUCUUCUGCACCUCUAACCCUAGAGGGCAGACAGCCUUCUUUGCUUCGUACGUACUCUCGGGUAAUUCGUUGUCCUUUGGAAGCAUAUCCUUUAUCAUUACCAGCAACUUUCCAAAUCCCUUGUCAGAUACACCAUUCUCUGCCUUCCAUUGCAGCAAUUCCAGUGUGGUGCCCAACUUUUUCUUGUCACCUACGCAAUUCGGGUAAAACAAUUUUUUGUGAUCCUCUAACAUGCGCUGCAACUUCUUCUUCUUCUUCUUCUCCAAAUUACUUGCGCAGUUUCUCUUUGCAUCGGCAAUGGGCCGACCUAGAUCAUCAACGGCCUCAUCUGAUGCAUCUUCUUCAGCUUCUUCCCGCAUUGCCGGCUCAGCUUCUUCCCGCAUUACCGGCUCAGCUUCUCCCCCCAUUGUUGUAUCAUCAUAUUCAGGGAACCCAUGGCCAGGAUAGCUGUCGUCGUCCUCUUCUUCUUCAUUGUCUUCCAUCAUAACCCCUCUUUCUCCGUGCUUGGUCCAAACAUUAUAAUGGGGCAUGAAACCGGACUUAAACAGGUGGACGUGAAUGGUUCUUGACGUAGAGUAAUUGUGACCAUUCUUACAACGAGCACAUGGACAAGGUAUAAAACCAUCCGCCCGCUUGUUUGCCUCAGCCACAAGCAGAAAAGUAUGCACGCCCUCAACGAACUGGGGAGAGCAUCGCUCAUCGUACAUCCAUUGCCGGCUCAUCUUCAUUACACAACACCGAAUAGACCAAAUUAAUACAAGUUCAUACAACACUUAAAUGCAACAAACAAAUAACUCUCUAGCUAAAGCAUUUAAAUGCAACAACAAAUACGAUCAAGAUCGCAACUAAGAUAACAAUGGAUCCAACAGCAUAAUGAUACCAAGCCUCACUAUCGAUGGCAUAUUUUCUAAUCUUUCUAAUCUUCAAGCGCAUUUUCUCCAUCUUCAUCUUGUGAUCAUCGACGACAUCGGCAACAUGCAACUCCAAUUCCAUCUUCUCCCCCUUAAUUCUUUUCAAUUUUUCUUUCAAGUACUCGUUUUCUCUUUCAACUAAAUUUAAUCUCUCGGCAAUAGGGUCGGUUGGAAUUUCCGGUUCACAUACCUCCUAGAAAAAAUUUCUAUGUCAACUUGAUGGGCAUAAUUUGUCAUAAACACGAAAUGCAACUAGUUUUAAAAGAGAAUAUACAUACCACAUCCGAAUCAUAACAAGGACUAGGGCCGACGGGGACGGAUAUCAAAACCAUGGCACUAUAUGUAUAACAAACAACGUACGGGUAAGAUAAUUAUACGAGUAACUAUAUAUCCAAAUCACACAAACAUCAAUUUUUAUAUAAAAUUUCAUGAACAAGAGGCUCACCAUAAGGUGGUGCCGGCGACAGGACGGUGCGGGCGAUCGACGGUGGCUACGAUGGAGAUUUAGAAGGCACUAAGUAAACCACACCUACAUAUGCAAACUAAGUGUUAUUUUUGACCUCAAAUUGCAUAUAAAUCAAAUACUAGCACAUAUAUAUAUAUCCUCCCAAAUUACUAAACUCACAAAUUAAUCACUAUAUAAAGCAUUGCAAGAGCUAAUCUAGCAAUGAGAGAUGAAAGGACAAAGUUGCUAACCUUUGUGAUCAUUUGAAUGGAUGGGGGCCUUCAAAUCUUGACAAAUUUUGGGCAAAAUGUAUGAUGAGCUCGAGAGGAAGAGGGAAAGAACAGAGAGGAGAGGGGAAAGGGGAAGAACAGAGCGAGCUCGGGUGGACGAAGGGUUUAUGUAGGACGACCUUUAGUAUCGGUUUGUGCCAAGAACCGGUACUAAAGGGGCUGGAGGGGCCCCAUUCUGACAACAUCCUGCCAUCACUCUCAUUAGUACCGGUUCGUGGCACGAACCGGUGCUAAAGGUUCGCCACGAACCGGUACUAAUGAAAGCGGCCCGGCUAGCCGUUGGAACCGGCACUAAUGUAUACAUUAGUGUCGGCUUAAAUACAAACCGGCACUAAUGUGCUUCACGUUUGACCCUUUUUCUACUAGUGAUCUUAGCUUAGUACGCUGUUGUAACCAGGCCCGGGCAAACAAUUUUGUAUAGCCUAUACAUACUCUAGAUCUAGUUUUUAUUUUCCUUCUCUAAAUAUUAAUAUAUGCAGUACAUAGUGAUGCGCUUUCGUAAAAAAAACCUGGGUCGCCGCCGGAGCUGGCCUAGGUCCGGCCGCCGUUGCUCUCGAUCCAAGGUCGUUGCCACGCAAGAGAGAUGAGAGGAUCUUCAAGACCAGGACAAAGCCGACGAACGGCAGACGACAUUGGAGAAUUAGCUCAGGGCUUCGCAUCGAGUCGCUGGGUCGCAAGCCGUACAUCCUCGUCGCAGGUGUGCGGCGUUGGUGGGUGUCGGCACAUUGCUGGAGGACAGCCAUGUCCCGACGCUCGUGAGAAGAUGGAGGAGGGUAGGCGACGCUGACAAUCCUGGCAGCGGCCAUAUUGGGGUGGGGAUAGGGCUUGGCCAGCGAGAGAAAGUUGGAACGGGAGGGAUCCUAUUUUUCUUGGAGGGCUUUUUUCACGAGGGGCUAUCGGCGUGGGGGCGAGGGGGAAAGGAACCGAUCGCGGGGGUGGGUCGCCGAAGGGAGGGCAGGACGCGGUCAUUGGCAGGAAAAGGAACUGUAUGUGGUUUUUUAGAUAAUAGGACAAUGCCCGUGCGUAGUAACGGGAGGAUAGAUAUUCAUACCCCCACCUGGGAAUAUAUAUUUAGGCCUCGUACACAUCGUGUCGAACAAAAAUAUCUUUAGGAUCCUCAUGCACACCAUACAAUAUUGUCAGGGUUUCACUAUCACUCUUUAUUAUAUUGUAACCAUGAUAGAUAGUACUUACUUCAUAAUAUGCAUUCGGCCUUGUCUUUCUUUUUCAACAAGUGGUGUAGUCAAUUGAGGUGCAGACCACAAAGCACGUAGUUCUACUGAUAACUUGUCUGCUGAGACAUAUAAUUUUUUCAUGUUCAGUUAUUAAUGUUAGACAAAAAGGAAUGAAUAUGUUGUACAUUAUGAUUUGUACUUCCUCUGCAUUAUGCCAAGCAGAAAAACAUUAGUCUAUCUAUACAAAGCGACAGUAACUGUUAAUUUCUUUUACUAAUCUCCCAAUCUCACUCACAUAAACAUAUAUAGCCUAUAAUUUCUGAAACCACCCUUGAUAUGACCGAGUAGCACACGUUUCCUUGGCCCCAGUAUAUUUCUUGUUCGUAUUCCUUAUCUACCUUGCAUCCAAACAAAAAUCAUGGAAACCACAUGGACAACAAUUAACCAAUCAGCCACAUGCAAUUCAGAUUAGCACAGAAGAGAAUCUAUACACUCUCAGCUCACAGACUAAUCCAAUGAAAAACAUCUCAUUUGAGAAAUGACCAAGGGGUGAAGUACACUGAUUUUCACCUUGUGCAGACUGAGUUUUGUCAGUACUGCAGAUCCUUGUAGUCAUAAUGGCUUCAUGUGGUCAACUUGCCUUGCACCCGCCCUUUGUACGCAGCAGCCGACGUACUUGUACUUGCACUUGCACUUGCAUGGCUGGACUUGUACACAGGAUUCUGAGUCAUUCAGAUUAUGUUCAGCUGGUUAGAAACAACCUUAGAAUAGAAACAUAUCAAUUGUUCUCUUUUUCUGGAGCCUGGCCAGAUUGAGAGCUCGCCACUUUGCAGAAUAAUAACUUCAGAGUCCCUGUACCAGAAAGAAAUUAAAUCAAAAUGAACAAAAGCACUCAAACAAUUGUGAAACAAUUUCCACAAACAAAAUCCACCACACCCCGUUCUAGCAACCCGGUAUAGAUUGAACAGAUAGAUAAAACUGGAAGCAAUUAGGACUAUACAAUGCUAGGAACAACCUGGUUGUCCAGAAAGGGAUUUGCCAAAUUCGAUUAGAAUUUCAUGUCGGGAAAAAAUAUAGGGAUUUGCCAUUAUGGCAGGUCGAAGCAGAAUAGAGCUAGUGGAAACUGAAAGUCUGAAAUCUGAAAUUAUCUACCCACUGCACCUGACGGCUGGCCCUAGCAUUUGAGUUCAUAUGUCCAAAUAAUGCAAUGUGAGGUCGUGUUGGAGAGGAACACGAGAUCACGGAUCACCCGCAAAAAAACACGAGAUCACGGAGGACAAGCUCACCCGGCAGGGGGAGAUGUGGGCGCGCUUGGUAGCACGACGACGGGGAGCUCGAGGAAGAGCACGACUGGAUCCGCCGCCACCCACCAUUGGAGCGAACCAGCUGUGGUCGCCGACGUUCAGCCGCCUCGGUUUCUCAGUGUCCUCGUGGCGUAGCGGCCUCCGCCAACGGCCUGGAUCCUGCGUCAACAGCUUGGACCUUCGCCUCCGUCUCCUGCACUGCCUCAUCGUUGGCCACUUCUCUUCGCCUCACAGCAGCAGCACAAGGGCGUCCAGCACUUCGAGAAGAUGGAUCUGCGUAGGCUUGCAUGCACUCAUAAAGUCUAGUUAGCUUAAGAUAUCCCUAGUGAUGCUGCUGCUGCGUACCUUGCAAGAUUGAUAUGCGUACGUUUGCACGCACUGAUCGCGCAAGCUAGAAGAUGGGGCGAGGCAGGGUGGAGGCGUCCUAUUGUGGACAGCGUCGGCGGGAGACGGCACAAUCCGGCAGAAGACGGCGGUGCUUACGGAGGCCUCCUGGAAGAUGGGGUGAGGCGGAUGUGACCUGUUGGAUGGCGGCGGCGACCGCGACGCGAUCGGGUGCCGGUGGCGACGUGCACAAGCACGAUGCGGCGGUUAUGAUCCAGUGCAGGGACAUAGAUGGGCUUUCAAUGCUAGAUGGGCGGUGCAUGAUUAUCGUUGACUGAUUGGCUAUUAUGACUGGUUUUAAAAGUUUUACCAUAAACCCGUGGGAGGAAAUCUGGGACGUGAGAAAAUCCGGGACGUGAAAAACUAACUGGAUCGGGGAGGUGUGACGAAGGCUGGCAGGACGCGGUCCUUUGGCAGGAAAAAGAAACCCCAACAUGGAAAGUUCUAAUCCAUUCAGAUUCUUAAAAUCGGUUAUCUUAUUUCUAAUUAAUGUGAUUGAGCAAUUUAAGGUAAGAUUAAUUAGUUUAAAUUUGAUCUUUAGAGAUUGAUCAUGAUUGAUUUUUUCAUAUAAAGACAUUACUAAAUAAGUUGCCUCAGCAUGCAAAGUUCUGAUCCAUUCAGAUUUUUUUUUGUUGUGUGAGAGGGUGACGCGAAAUUAAACCGAUGGGGUGGGGUGGGGGAGGGGACGAAAAAAUCAGCGAAAAAAAAUCAGACGAAAGUGGUGGGACUAUUCAACCAACUCGUCCAUUAGAAAUAGAGAUAUUGCAACCUAUUCCGCAGCAACACGCGGGACAUUAUCUACUUCCUCCAUCCCAUAAUGUAAGACUUUUUUUAUGCACUUCACUCGUCAAAAAACAUCUUAUAUUAUGGGACGGAGGGAGUAGUUAUGAAUAAGGACGGGUGACCGGAUAAGAAGAGUAAAAGGCCACUGUACAAAAUGCAGAUCGAGAUCAAAGGCAUCAACAAGUGUGUACAGGGGCGAUUUCACCGUCCGGGCACCCUGGGCCCGUGCCCGGGCACGACCGCUGCAGAUUUUUCGAGUAGCCGGAGUCACAAUCGAUGAAUACGUGCGAUAUAGGGCAAAAAUAUGACAGCUUAGUGAACUAGGCUAGUUUGGGCGUUCUUUUGCCUUUUGGGAUUACUCACGCCAAACCAGAACGUCUAAGGGCCAUCCAUUAUUUCUUUACAUGGGCCACGUUAGGGUAGUCAGAUCGAUCUCGAGCCUGCUGGCUGCAUCACUCGCCUCGCCUGUUUGGCUACCUCGCACGUUGUUCGCCGCGCCGCAAGAUUGUACCCUAGCAAUUCCGGCAUUGGAGGUGGUGGCCGGCGAGAUGGACUGGUGAAGCACCGAUGACCGGCAAGACUGCAAGAGAUGGUGCACGACCGGGCCUCUAAUUAGGCUACGAUUCCACCAAGCAACGAUCGGGAUCUGAAGCAGAAGCGUAGGAGUCAAAGCGGCAUCCCCUAUGGUGUGAAUUCCUCCCCGCCGGAUGGUGGCUCAUCCUCAUCAUCGUCUGCACUUCAGCGAGCACUAGUCACGUGUGCAGCACCAGCAAGUGCCCAACCUGCACAAGGCCAUGGCCAAGAGGCAGCAAACAGCCAACGGCGAUGGCCACCAAUGGCAGCGUAAAACGACAACUAGGUGAGUUAUCGGAUUUCUAUUAGGUUUGUUCAACUACAUAAUUGAGCAUAUUAUUUAGUGACACUAGUGUGUUGGCGGUUUGAUAGACCAAAGUACAUUUUAGUUUACGAGAAAUCUAAUGACCAAUGGACUGGUGGUUUGGCAACAGAUCCGCACUGUUAGGAUGCCGUCCCUUCCGAAUCCAACGACGCGCGUUUUGCCUACGCGUUUACUGCGAGCGGACGUCGCUGUCACCGUCAUCCGAACGUCGCUGUCGAUCCUGCUCCCACCGAACGUCGUUGUCGCUAUUUUUUCGUUUUUCUUUUUCCGAUCAAAGGGACGUCGCUGUCGCUACUGAUUUCCUUUCCGAUCCAAAGGCACGUCACUGUCGCUGAUGAUUUUUUUUUUCAUUUUUCCUUUUCCAACCCAAAUGACGCUGCCCACUGUUUUCGUUUCUCGCGUACUGACGUUAGUUCCAACGAGUAAAAAAAAUGUGCAUAAUAGGGUUUGAACCCAGGUCUAUUGAUUGUUGUACCAUGCCAAUAACCAAUUCACCUAAUACUACUUGUUGUCUUACAAAUGGAAACUAUCUAUGUGACCUUUUUAAACCGCAUGGCAGGAAAUAAUAAAUUGUUUUUUGUUGUUUGUUGGCCUUUUCUUGUACUUCCUUCGUCUCAAAAUACGUGACUUGACUUUGUACUAAUUUUAUACAGAGGGAGUACAUUAUUGCAUACUACAUUACAAGUUGUGAAAUAUCAUGAUAACUCACACAUCACAGACCUGAUAAUUUAUGUAUCCGAAUCCUGAUAACUUUGGUGUGAUGGUGGUGGCGGCGGUGGUGGNNNNNNNNNNNNNNNNNNNNNNNNNNNNNNNNNNNNNNNNNNNNNNNNNNNNNNNNNNNNNNNNNNNNNNNNNNNNNNNNNNNNNNNNNNNNNNNNNNNNNNNNNNNNNNNNNNNNNNNNNNNNNNNNNNNNNNNNNNNNNNNNNNNNNNNNNNNNNNNNNNNNNNNNNNNNNNNNNNNNNNNNNNNNNNNNNNNNNNNNNNNNNNNNNNNNNNNNNNNNNNNNNNNNNUAUGCACGCUGGUCAUGGUACUUUUGGCGAGAGAUGGGUGAUGAAAUAUACCCCCGGUAACUUUAAUGUGCAUAGCACGGUAACUCACACAUCAUAGACCUGAUAACUAAUGUACCCCAGUCUUGGUAAAUUUUGGUGACCGGAUGGGGGGGAGGGUGGUUGAUGAAAUAUACCCUUGGUAACUUCUUGUGCGAAUAACUUGAUAAUUCACACAUUGCAGAUCUGAUAACUAAUGUACCCCAGUCUUGGUAAAUUUUGGUGACCGGGUGGGGGAGGGCGGUUGAUGAAAUAUACCCUUGGUAAAUUUUUGUGUGAAUAACAUGAUAAUUCACAUAUUGCAGACCUGAUAACUUAUGUGCCCCAGUCCUAGUAACUUUUAGCGACGGUGGUGAGGAUGGGGGAGGAUUGUUGCUGAAAUAUACCAUUGGUAACUUUUUUGUCAAUAGCAUGGUAACUCACGCAUCAUAGACCUGAUAAGUCUGGUACAAACAACGCGGUAACUUAAGACCCCGAAUAAAAAGUAUUGAAAUAUACCACGGUUACUUCUGUGCAAAUAGCACGGUAAUGUAUGCAUCCGGAGCUGAUAACUUAGGUAUAAAUACCACAAUAAAUUUGACUCGGGGGAAAGAAGUCGUUGAAAACACAUCUCCAAUCACUUCGGCAUAAAUAACAUGUUAAUAUACAUAUAACAUAACUGAUAACUUUACUGUAACUUUUGACCAAAAAUGUGAUCAAAAUAUGUCAGCAUGAGGUCUAGUUUCGAAGUUCUCACUGCGAUGGAUUUUUUAUGAGAAAACAAUUUUUCAAUCAGAAACGACAGUUUGAAGAAUAAAACAUUUUACAGUUUUAAAAUAGCAAGAAUUUACAAUGCCAUUAGGUUUCCUAUGCUCUACUGCAUUUGCAUGUGGAGAAAAUGUUGGAGGAGCCAUUUUUAUGCCCGGUAAUUUCUAUGUAAACAGGAUGAUAACUUAUGUACCACAGAUGUGAUAACUUACCUAGCGUGGCGCUGGUAAGUUUUGACCCGAAAAAAAAAGUUGUCGAAACAUAUCAACAUGGGAUCUAGUUUCGAAGGUCUCGUCGCGACAAAUCUUUUAUGUGAAAACAGUUUUUCAAUCAGAGCGACGGUUAGAGCUACAAAACAUUUUAAAUUUCUGAAUUCGAUGAAAUCUCUGCUGACAUCAUCAUUUUUCUUCUUAUAUGCAUGCAUGCAACUAUUGGGGAAAAGAAUCCGUGUGCAUUCUCAGUUUUUUCAAAAAAACCAACCGCAUGCAUGCAUGCACCUACUUUGAGUGAAUAGAGAAAAACUCGUCCGGAUCUGUCACUAACGACCAGUCAACUGAUCGUUAGCACAGUCUUUUAGUUUAUAGCAUGUCCAGGCUUUGGCAAUUUGCUAGCUUCGCCACUUAGUGUGUAAGUAAUCCAGCAAUGGAGUAGGUAGCCGUAGGUGCUCAUAUGUUCAACGCCUGGUUUCUCUUUUCCGCAUACCUACCUCGGCAUCUUUCGUUAGCAGUUGGCGGCUGCGUUUUUUUUCCUUUUUCUUUGGCGCCUGUGGACCGUUAAUCAUUCUGCUUUAAAGAUUUUGCAGCAAACCAAAGAACACGAUGAAAUGCGGAACAAAACAAAAUAAAAUACACCGCUGGCCCUGAACACGUUAUAAUUUCGUUUCUCCUCCCUCGGCCGGUCGGCCCUCGCUAGCUCCGUCGCCGGUGGUGCUAUUCCGGCCAGUCAGCACAAACGCUGAAAUCACUAGAGACACUGCAUUUUGGCGAGCGUGGUCGGACCGGCGAAACCAUUCCUGCUCCGAAGCGAGGAAGGGUCGUGCUCGCGCUCCCAUCCCCCGUGGAAACCCCGGCGAUGUUGAUUUGAAUCCAAAGUGACGCCAGCGCGACUAGGAAUUAAGGGCAUCUCCAGCCGUUGGCCCCUUAGGGGACUCGGUAAAUCGCCGUCUGACGCUAAAAAUCCGCUUGCGACGAUCAGGUUCCCAGCCGCCGUCUCAGGGUCGCCCCUAGUCGUCCUUUUUUAAAUAUUUUUUAAAAUAAAUUCAGUUAAAAUUCGGCAAACAUUAUAAAGAUUCAGCAAACAGGACAUAAAUUUGGCGUUCUACAUUUUUUACAUAGAAAACUUAAAAUUUACUAAAUAAAAAACUCGCAGAGCGCGACAUAGUCGUCGUCUUCGCCGCCGUCGUCCUUCUCCUUCUUCACGCUGCUGGACCCCUGCCUGGGGUCGUUCUGGUGGACAGGUUUGGCCGGUGGCGGCGCGUCGUCAUCCCUGUCUUCAAGCACGAUGACGCCGACAUCGAUGACGCCCCCUGCCUCGCACCCACGGCAGCGCACGGCGAUCUCUGCCAGGGCGCGGCGCUGGCGCUCCAUCUCCAGCCGCGCCCAAUCUUCCCCCGUCCACCUCAUGGCUGCCUCGUCGUCGAGCUCCGGCUCCGUCUUACUUCGGGAGGGCCCGUUGCUUCUCCGUCAGAGACGCCAGCGCACGCUCGAUCUCGGCGCGGAAGUAGUCGGGGAGCAUGACGUCAGGCGGCGGGGGGACGGGCAGUAGCGAAUCUAGGAUGAAUUUGAAGAGCAGGCUCAACUUCAGUAUAUAGACUGAAACUGGGUUAUGAUGGGCUGAAACUAGGCUGAGAUGGGCUGGGAGGAUUUUAAUUUCGGAGGGCAGGCUUGAACCCAUCCAAGCCUGCCCCUUGGAUUCGCCGCUGGGGACGGGGACGCCCCCAGCGCUGAGCCUCCACCAUCCUGGCGCGCGCAUGUCGGGAGGCACCAGGUAGUUGGCUUCGUGCAAGAGAUGGGCUUCUCACUCGUGCAGAGAGCGGCGGGCCGAAGCCAUUCGCCGCCGCCCCAUUGUCGGGGAACCUUUCGCCCAUCGUCUGCGGCGGCUGUGAACGGGGAGGGAGAGGAAAGAGGGCUACUCAACUGUGGCUGUGCACGGGAAGAGAGGGGUUGUGGGCGGGUGUGUCCACCGGUGAGGGAGGCGCUGCUUUAUAUAGCGGCCGGGGGAUGGCGUGGUGUGUACGUGUGGUGGGGAGAGGGCGCGUCGCCGCACAACACCGCCCGUGAGGAAUCAAUGAAAGGCUGACUGGUGGCAACAUUGGCAUUGAUUCCCCGCGGAAAAUCGAGACGAUGUGAGGACAACGAGGCGCGGGUCGCUGCCUCGACGGGCAUGCAGUUUUUUCGCGCCAAAAGCGAUCGCCCCGGCGCCCUCAAGCACUCCCCAGUGCGUCGGGUUCGGCCUGGGUCCAACGACGCCAGUUUCGACCCUAACCAAUGAAAACUGGGCUUCUGGAACGCGACUAGACCGCUUUUUGGACGCAUGUGUUAAAAAAAUGUCUGGAAGGCCUGUUGGAGACGCGGCUGAAGAUAGUCUAAGCAGGUAAGAUAAGGUAGGUGUGAGUGUGACCGUGACCAGUGUCGGCACACCCAGCACGACCGAGAUGAGAUCCUCCUCGUCGCUUGAUGGAGCCGCGCAUACAAACUCGUCAGCGCGAUCAGCGUCGUCCAGUGGAAGGCGACAGCGUGCGUGCGGUGGUUUUCAACGGCUGAGCACGGCGAGGCAGACACGUCAUUGCAUGCAUCUGGUAGUGACGAGCUGCUGGUCCAAUAUUUGGACACGACCAAGGUGGCGGAGGAGUUGGCCGAGACUUGUCGGUUUGGUCAACGAAACAAAGUGGACCUCGUGCUUCCAGUACAGGGACAUACAUACCUGAUUUUUGACAGAGGUUCGAGCUUUGCUUGACAGCGCUUGCUCCUGAUUAGAGCAUCUCCAACAGGCGUCCAAAAAGAACUUCGCGCAUUAAAAAUUAGUAUUUUUAGGCGUCCAAUAGCUCCAGCAGAUGUUGUACCGCUAAAAGUUUUGGACGCGCGCUGAAAAACACUAUCGCGCGCAGCAUAUUUUGGGUUUCGGAUUGCGCGCGCUUCACAAUUUGCAUUGUUUAUUUUUUGGACGCGCGUUUUCAAGCGUCUGCUAAAGCAAUGUUGGUCCCGACGCACUAAAAGUGUUAAAGUGACGCGCUAUAACUUUUAUUGGGCGCGAGAUUUUUAUGCGGCCAUUGGAGAUGCUCUUAGAAGAAUUGAUCGAGGGCAGUAGCAGUGAGACCUGGAUGCAUGAUUUUCCCGAGCUAGAAGAUACCCCUCGCGUCACUACGGGAUUCUAUACAUUAUUUUUUUAACAGAAUGUUGAUAUAUAAGUGGUGAAGAACAUGAAGAUCUAAUUCCAUAUCUUUUUACCUACUAAUAAAGCACGCAUUGCUUCCGUCGGGUUCACCGUCACAAUAUGCUUUCUUCUCACAUUAUAAUACGCUUUUAUAAUUUGUGUAGACAAAAUCAAAAUCCAAGGUGGUACUAUUCCCCGAGAGCUCUAACAGUCGAGCUUUGAUUGAAACCUUGCAUACGUAAUCGGGCCGGCCCAGUCGAGCUUUGGCUGAAACCUCGCGUAAGUAAUCGGGUCGGCCCAUAACCAGGAAACGAGAAUGUAAAAAUAGCACAAAAAACAAAACCACACAUGAUGGGUUCGAUCUCAUGACCUCACGCUAGGUAGCAGGGACGCCAACCACAUGAGCUAGCUGUUGAUUAUGCUCAAAUUGCAGCGCCCCUGUUAAAGUAGUUUAGCGACAGGUCUAUUUAUUUUUCUUAAAUAUUUUCAACAAUUCUUGGAAACAAGUGUGGGCGAUUUUCCUUAAAAUAUUUGAAUAUGAAUACGUUUUUAAAAUCGUGAAUAAAUAUCAAAAAUUCGAACAAAAUUUUGAAACCUGAACAAAUUUUGCAAUUCCAAACGUUUAUUUAUUUUUGAUAUACGUUGUAUUUUUAGAAGAAUAUACAUUGAACAUUUUUUAACAUAAAUUUAACAAUUUUACAUACAAAUUGAACAUUUUUCUCCCGUUGCAACGCACGGGUCUUUUUGCUAGUGUAAUAUACUAUAGAUCGAUGUGCCAUAAAAAAGAACAUAUUAGAUAUUAAUAAUAGCUGAAAGUAGAUAUAUAAAAAUUUACCGUGGGACGGAAUUCCUACAGUUUCCGGUGGAAAAGAAAAAAGAGUACCCCCUAUAUAAUAACAUGAAAGUACUAUUCUCCCUUUGAAAAAUAUUAUACAUUUGUUCCUUAGAAAAUUGAGAACAUAUUGUAUAUUCAUAUUGCCUGAAGGUAGUGUUCCUGCUCUUAGAUGCUCUAUAAGUGACAAUAGUAUUCCCUAAAACCAACUACACUUUUUAGAAAGUCAAAGCAUGUUACAUAUGCUUAUUUGGAUUCAAAUUUAUGUUUGAGAUGUCCCGCAAGGAAAAGUGAUUAUGUUAGGAGUUGUGCUUUCAGGCUACAUGCCUACAUCCUGGACAGUAUGGCCGACUCCACGCCACUUGAAGCCCCCGAGAGCCCCGCGCGCACAUUGGCCGCGAACCUCUCCAUGGCGCGCGGCGGCAGGCACAUCGGCACGGUGAUCGUCCCGCCGGCCGCAGGAAUGUGGAACGUGGCAAGCGUCGUCGUGGCCGGUCCACCGUACACCGGCAGGCCCCACCCGAGGUCCACCUCGUGCAGGUUCGACUUGGUGAGAUCCGUCACGAGAUACGUCCGCGCCGUCGUGAACCGCGGCCGCCCGCGCAGCACCAGCGCGUCGGCCACCGACUGCGCGUAGUCGUCGUCGGCGACCCGCGCCUUCGCGGCCACGAUCAGCUCCACGGCGCGGCCCAGCGGCCCCGAGCAGAGCUCGCCGGCCGUCGUCCGCGCCACGCCGAAGGUGAGCGCGUUCCCGUAGAACCCCUCGGGGAGCGGCCGGCCGCGCUUCCCGCGGGCGUUCACCACGAACAUGAACCGCACCUCGUCGCCGGGCGCGUAGCCGAGCGCCGCGGUCCGGCAGCGCCACGCGAACGCCGACAGGAGCAGGAACCGGGAGCACCGCGUUCUCAUCCGCGGCGGUAGCUGGUCCCUCAGCGAGGACAGCUCCUCGGGGCCGAAGAGGAACGCCCGGUGCACGAGCUCGGCGCCCGGACGGAGCCUGUCGUUGGCCGCGUCGGCCGCGAGCUCGUACUCGGGGUGCUGGUAGGUGGGGCAUGGGGGGUCGCGCGCGUCGAGCAGUUCCCUCGCCCACACAGGCCGCACCCUUGGUGCCUCCAUGCCGCCCGCCAGCUCGCCGACGGCCUGCAGGAGCUGCGUGACGCCCGGCGCGUCCACGAGGUUAUGGCACACCUGGAUGCCGAACACGAAGCCUCCGCACCUCAACCUCGUCACCUUCAUGCCAUCGUGCAUGGUGCAUGUCAGUCUCACGUACUUAGUAGUACAAAUUGCAGAUAAAUUAAUGAUAAUUAAGGAUGCACCACAAAUUCUUCAACCCUAGUCUGGGAUGCACCCAUGACUUACUUGAACGUAGAGCAGUGGACGGUCGACAACGACGGCGGAGUUGCUCUCCGGCAAGCACAGGAGCUGGCCGGCGCAAGGGACCGGCGGGCACAGCGUGUCGCCGAACUCGUCCAGCGCGACGUCCGCAUCGGCCUCGACGAAACACACCCCCUCGCCGGUGCAGUCCACAGCGAGCUUCCUGCCGGGCAGCUCGCGGAGCCGCCCGGCGAUGGGGUAGUAGUGCACGAGCGCCGCGGCCAGGCCGUGACGUAUGAUCCUGGCCGGGUCGGCUCGCGGCCGCGAGGGGCGGCCCCGGUAGAGGUAUAUGACGGAGCGAUAGAACCGGAGGCUCUCCUGGUCGUCGAGGUCCGAGAGCCGCUUGAGCUCGCGCGGCGUCGGCCCGACCGGCGCGACCAGCUCCGGCUCGCCGCGGCGCGCCACGAAUGCCAGGGACGUGGCGGCCAUAGUAGCUAGUAGCGCUAGUCUAGAUUACCGGUUUAAGCCUGCCGCUUAGUUAGCCUUGGCCGUUGGAAAAUGGCGGACGCUGGAUCGUAGUCGAUCGUCUAGUGUGUGCAUCUAUGAGCGUACGAACAUCCAGAUAUAUAGGAGUGGUGGGUCGAGUUUACGGCUUCACGAUGUGAAGAAUUCAUCGUGGUUUGGUCGCCGGUGGCGAAGCAAGAAAAUGGGAGUACGAUAUGAGAAUUGUUCAGCGCACGAGUCGCCGUGGUCCGGUCGCUUAUAGCAACUCCAAUAAAAUGACCCAUUCGCCCGCGGCGCGAACAAAAAAAGAGGCCCAAUGCAUCGACCCAAACUCAAAUUGAGUCUGUUUUCCGUCCGCGUCGACGCAUUUGCUGCUCAAAUUUGCACUACAAAAUGUGUCGACGCGGACACGUAACGCACACCAUCUCGUUGUUCGCCGCGUCUUCACCUGACGGUCGUCCAACUGCCCAUAGCCUACCUAGUCAGCUUAAUUUAUGACCUCAGGCACACGCGUCAGCGACGACGGUCGUUCUUUUUUAAGCCGACCGUGCGGUGGGACCGUCCUCGUUCGUUUUCAGCCAGCCCCCAUCCCCAUCUAGCCACACUCUGCUCCCCUGUCGCCGGCAAACCCUAGCCACCCCAAUAAAACCAGAUGGGCCUCUACUCCGGCGCCGGCAGCAGCAAGGCCAAGGGUAAGUCCCCCGCCAUUCCUUUUCCCGCAGAGUUCCUCCCGCCUCCGUCGGCGCCAGCUCGUCGGUCGAGGCAGCCCGUCAACGUGCCAGUGCACCGGGCGGAGUGGCACUGGCAGCACCGCGUGCCUCUCCUGUACCCCGACGCUACCCUGUCGCACGUCUGGUUGGGGGCGAUGUCGGCGCAGGAGGCGGCGUACCUCGAACAGUGGCGCCAGCGACGGCUGGCCGAGGAGCACCGCCACGGCGAGUACCUCGAGAUGCUCGAGCACGACGCCGAGGACGAGCGGCGCGAAGCCGAGGAGGAGGCGCGCCAGGCCACGGCGGCUCAGGCGGCUGCACAGCCCCCCACGGCGGCACAGCCCGCGCCCGACAUGAACGCCCUCUGGAACACGCCGUUCCCCUGGGCCGGCCCUGCGCCGACGCUCAUCGACCUCACGGACCCCGAGGAUGACGACGACGAUGCCUAGGGCAGCGCGCCGCCUCAUAGUUUAGGUUGUUUUUAAUUUUCUUUAAUGCAAAUGUGAACAUGUGGACUCUCGCCGGCCUUCAUGACCGGUUUUAAUGUUUAAUUAACAUUGUUUCUAUUUUAAAUAUGCAUGUUUUUUUCUCGCGCCGUUAAAAUAGGUCGGGCCAGCGUUGCGCGCAUGCGCCAAUUCAAAUACAAAAGCGGAUGUUCGUAUCCGCCUGACCGACUCAAACGGAUAAAAUCAUCAUCCGUUUGGGUCAGCCUCUUGGAGCUGCUAUUAGUGCGGAAUGCAUACUUUUGUCGGUCGAGGAUGCGUGAGCAUAAUUUGCUCGUUGCGCCUUUCACGUGCUUUGACAUAUCCUGGCCUGUAUGUAGAGCUCAUGGCUAGUCAGUGUAAGACAAGUGUUUAUGCGGAACGUUGAUUUGAGCUCUAACUUUUCACACGUACUAGGUAGGUAGCUGCUCUGAGAAAGCAGGUAGGUGAGCUAUUUGGCAGGGUUUUCACGUAUGUGGUUGUUGGUUUCACGCAUGAAAUGCCUAAGAUAUUUAACGACUGUUGAAGUGCUGCUUGAGUGCUGAUUAGACGUGACUUGUCUAUGCAUAGAUGUCAUGAUUAAAGCUGACUUAGCUAAUUCUACAUGAUUUUGUUGAAUUUUGAACGUAAAUUUUUUUGACAUGGUGAGGAACUUGAAUAGUCCGAAACAUAGGCCAAUAUAUUAGUUCCCCAUUGAUUUCCCUUUUGGGGGGAAAUUCAACAUUUGCCCUUUCUAGCCCAUUUCCCAAAUAAUUUGUUUUCACACAAAUUGAAACUACAUCGUUGCAUAAUUAAACAACGGUACCACACCAACAUCAAACAUAGCAUCAUUAAAUAGUCCAUUAUCUAAUACAUUACCAUUCCACUACAUCAACAUUAAAUAAGGUAAAUCAUCACUACAUACUAGAUAAAUAGCUCUACUCCUCGGCGGAGGAGAUGUCGAUCACCCCCUCGGCGAAGGGGCCAGAAGCAUGGUCAUUGACGGCGGGCCAUAUCCACCGAGGUAAACCCACUGGCCUACUGGUCCUUGGCUUCACGUUCGAGGUCCUCAAACAUAUCUGCAUGCUCGGCGUUGAGACACAUGAUCUUGUGGCGCUCACACUCAAUUGUGUGCUCACCAACGACGCGAGGAUCGCAUGGUUCUCAGCGAUGAUCUUAAGGUUCACGACGAACAUGACGUCGACAUUGAUGCGUUCGGCUGCUUGGUGCUCCGCCUCCUCAUACGUCGAGAGAAGGCGGAUGUUGUCACCCCGGCGGCGUCGUCAACCACCUCAAACCUGGUGAUGGGGUCAACCGCCAUCCCCUCCUCAUCCAAGUAAGACACAUGGGCGGGGUCAACCACCACCCCCUCCUCAUCNNNNNNNNNNNNNNNNNNNNNNNNNNNNNNNNNNNNNNNNNNNNNNNNNNNNNNNNNNNNNNNNNNNNNNNNNNNNNNNNNNNNNNNNNNNNNNNNNNNNNNNNNNNNNNNNNNNNNNNNNNNNNNNNNNNNNNNNNNNNNNNNNNNNNNNNNNNNNNNNNNNNNNNNNNNNNNNNNNNNNNNNNNNNNNNNNNNNNNNNNNNNNNNNNNNNNNNNNNNNNNNNNNNNNNNNNNNNNNNNNNNNNNNNNNNNNNNNNNNNNNNNNNNNNNNNNNNNNNNNNNNNNNNNNNNNNNNNNNNNNNNNNNNNNNNNNNNNNNNNNNNNNNNNNNNNNNNNNNNNNNNNNNNNNNNNNNNNNNNNNNNNNNNNNNNNNNNNNNNNNNNNNNNNNNNNNNNNNNNNNNNNNNNNNNNNNNNNNNNNNNNNNNNNNNNNNNNNNNNNNNNNNNNNNNNNNNNNNNNNNNNNNNNNNNNNNNNNNNNNNNNNNNNNNNNNNNNNNNNNNNNNNNNNNNNNNNNNNNNNNNNGCGAGCAUUCGCCAUGUUGGCCGCUUCCUCGCUCUAUGCUUCGUAGGCUGAUUGCUAGGCAGCAUGUGUCGCGUGCUCGGUGGGAAAACUGGGUUCACGGGUGUUCGGUGUCUCGCUAGUGGUUGCCACGCGACACAACGAAUCUGCCCUUAGGGUCUCUAGUGGAUCCAGGCCUUGGGCUGCCCAGCAACCCUAGGCACCCCCGGGUGGGCCCUCUGCAUCUCGGUGCUACUGGCACUUGGUAACUCUGGUCAUUUGCUAUGGUGGUGAUGUUGUGGGGGUGGUAAUGUUCAUGUUGACAUGGUCACCUCCCAAAUUAUGGGUUCCAUCGUCUCCAAAUAUAAAAACAACAUGUCGUGAGUCAUGUAGUUUUCAUGGAUGGCAUGUACAAACGUGUAUGUCAAAUAAAUGCCUCUCCCUAAUAUAGUGAUGGAUUUGUAGAGGCGCGAUAAUAAUUCUGGUUUGCUCCUGUGAUGGGUAACUUAGCACUCCAUGUAGGACGCGUCAUUUUUGCCUUCAACCCCACAAAGUAUUUUCAAAGUAUUUCAAGAAUACCACAGUAUCUUGAAAACCUAUGGUUUCAAAUACUUUGACGUGUUUGGCUCUAGUUAAAGUGGCAGUAUUGUAAACCACAGUAUGCACAAAACUGUGGUGUUUUUGCUAUAUUAAAAAAAAAGACCAGAACCUCUUUUCAAAAAACUGAGAAACACAGCAAAAGAUCUCUCAAGCGGCGAGUAAAUACAACACUAUAUACUUUGAUUGCCAAACACGGCACUAUCUUUCUUAGUAACACUUUAAAAAAUGAUGGUUUCAUAUACUAUGGUCUUCGCUGUCAUCGGCAUAGAAAACUGUAGUAUUCGAAUACUUAGGUUCUUCAAAAACUUCGCUUCCAAACGGCGUAAAAAACUGUAGUGACAUUUUGCAGCAAUGCAUGAGCAUGGUCUAAGAUAUUUAUUUAUUUAUUUAUUUAUUUAUUCGUCCACCAUAGCAAAUGACCGUUCCUUCCUCCGUCGCUGGUGGUGCGAUUUGGGUCAGUCAGCGCAAACGCUCAAACCAUUCCUGGAGUUCUUUUGACGGGCGUGCUCGCGCCGGCGAAUUGCCAUAGUGCGUUCGGACAUGGAGCUUCUUUGCUUUCUUCUUCCGUUGUUUCUUUCGUUUGGCAUGGCAUGACCAUUUCCAUCCUGGCGCACCGUUUCCGAAGGGAGGAAGGGUCGUGGCCGUGCUCCCACCCCCCGUGGAAACUCCUGCGAUGUUGAUUUGGUUCCAAAGUGGCGCCAGCGCGACUAAGAAUUAAGCAGGUACAGUAGGUGUGACCGUCACCGGUGCCGGCACACCCAGCACGACCGAGAUGAGAUCCUCGUCGCGUGAUGGAGCCCUGCCGCGGAUGCAAACUCGUCAGCUCGAUCGCCGUCGUCCAUUGGAAGGCAAGAGCGUGUGGUGCGGUGUGCUGGGUUUCAACGGCAGACCACGGCGAGGCAGACACAUCAAUGCAUGCAUCUGGUAGUGCCAGCCAAGGUCUUUCUCUGCUUGGCGUGUGAGUCAUUAUUCACCGGACGAUGACGAACCUCCCCGCCGAUCUUUCUUCAACCUGAUUGUUACGAUCAGGUGCUCGUCCAAUAUUUGGGCACAGCCUAGGGGACGGAGGAGUUGGCCAAGCCUUGUCGGUCUGGUCAAUGAAACAAAGUGGAGCUCGUGCUUGCUUCCAGGGACAUACAUACCUGAUUUUUGACAGAGGUUCGAGCUUUGCUAGCCACGCUUGCUCCUGAUUAGACAGGUCUGCUUGUCAACGAAAUUGAGUGUUUGCUGCUUUCUUCGCGGUCAGAAGAAUUGACAGAAGGCAGUUACAAUGAGGUGUGGAUGCACCAUUUUCUAAAAUGUGUGCUGUAGCAGUUGGUUAAUGUUGACUGCACCUUUCAACACCUUGAAAAGGGAGUAAGGGCAUCCCCAAGGAGGACCGUAAACCUCCCGUUUGGACCGUCGAAGCCAUCCAACACGGUUCUGUAUCGGUCCGUGGAGCGGUCAGGACGCGAUUUCUCCCGUAAAAUGGUGACAAAAGUGGGGAAAGUUUGCGGGAGAUCGGACACGCGAAACGUAUGAAUCCGACACCCCAGGCCCACCCAAAACCCUUCCCCGACCCCACCACUCAGGCCACCACACCACACCCCUGCCGAUAUUCUGCGUCUCCGUCACCUCUGGCGCUCCAGCAGGGCUCCCCUCCGCUUAUUCUCCGUCUCCGUUCAACUCCUGCCCUCCGACCGCACCGCCAGGUACCAACCUCUACCAUGCCCGACAACUGUUCGAUGAAUCGCCGGAACUGAACACAUUUGUCCCUUCUUCUUUUUAGCAAUGGAUUCCGAUUUGGAGUACAUAUACGAGCAAUAUGUUGAGUCGUCUGGCAGCUUCGUUGGACGAGGAGUACUCCGAUGAGACGGCGAUGAUGCAGGCGAUCCUUGAAGACACGCGUGCGGAGCAUGUUCUCAAUUUCAAGGGCUCGAACAAGGGUCAUCGAAUGCUCAACCGCAACAGGGCGCGCGGGCAUUUGAUACUGAUGGUCGACUACUUAUUUUUGCCGGCGUUUCGGAUGCGCAAGACUGUCUUCAAUCGUUUGUACCAUGGCGUUCGGUCCUACCAUGACUAUUUCAUCCUGACGAGGGACACCAUGAAAACGAUUGGCUUCUCUGGUUACCAGAAGUGCACAGCCGCACUCUGGAUGCUUGCAUAUGGCAUGGCCGCUGAUUCGUGGGACGAGUACCUACGGAUGUCAAAGAGCACAUGUGGAGAUGCCAUGGUCAGGUUUGCAACUGCCGUGAUCGAGGUGUUCGGACCUCAGUACCUGAGAAAACCAACUGUGGCAGACACGUAGAGGCUCCUGGCAAUUCAGAAGCAAGAGGGUGGCCAGGUUUGUUUGGAUCUUUUGACUGCAUGCAUUGGAAAUGGAAAAGCUGCCUGAAAGCUUUACAAGAGCAAUACAGGGUCAUGUUAAGAAGUCCACCAUCAUUCUUGAAGCAGUUGCAUCACAGGAUCUUUGGAUUUGGCACGCUUUCUUGGGCAUGCCCGAGUCUCACAAUGACAUCAAUGUGCUGCAACGAUCGUCGUUGUUUGCGAGGCUGACUGAAGGAAAAGCUCUUCCUUGUCACUAUACUGUUAAUGGACAUGAGUACAACAUGGGUUACUAUCUAGUUGACUGUAUCUAUCCUCCAUAGGAUACCUUUGUCAGCACCAUCUAAAAACCAGUUGGACAAAAAAAGGCUCACUUUGCCCAAAGACAAGAAGCGGCUAGAAAGGAUGUUGAGAGGGCAUUUGGAGCUCCGCAUGCCCGUUUUGCAGUUGUUCGUGGACCUGCUAAACAAUGGGAUCCAAAAAUCUUGUGGGAGGUGAUGACAUGUUGUGUGAUCAUGCACAACAUGGUCGUCGAGGAUGAGGGUGACGAUGUUGCUGCAACUCUGGAAUUUGAAAACACGGGUGAUCCUAUUCAACUUCUAGAUCAGAAUCCGGCCACAUUUAAGAAGUUUAUUCAAAUGCAUCAACAAAUUCGGCAUCGACCAACUCACAAGUAGCUGAAGAAAGGUCUGAUUGAGCAUCAAUUGGCAAUGAAAAGGGACACCAAUAUUGGGAUGUAAUAUUUGAUUUUAAAAAAAAUUGAACUAGUGUUGCAUGUGACUAUUUGAACAUCUGUACACUUUGCAUGUGGCUACUUUCAUGCAGACUAGGAAAAAACCGGAAGGCCAAAUGUAUGCGGCUAUAAUUGGAUGGUGUCCUCCCGCAUUCGUGUUUGUGGACUGUUUCCCCCUCCGUGGACAAAUGUGGGAGGAUUUUUACAAGUUGCCAUUAAAGAUGCCCUAACAUCAUCUCUCUGAAUCCCCGCAAAAAAAGUUGCCGCGGAACCGGGAACACAAACAGGGCUUGCCGUUAUCAACGACAACAAAGUCUUUCAGUCUGAAACAAGUUGAAACCCAUAAGAUCUCAAAAACAAGCCAUGGUUCUAGCACAUGAAUAGCUAACUUCCACACACCCCUCUUCAUGGCUAAUUCUUUGGUGAUAUUUCAGUCCUUCAGAUCCCUCUUUACACAUCUACAAUCAAGAACCAGACCAGCCCUCUUAACGGAUCUAAAAUCAAGAACCAGAACAAUACAAGUCCACAGCUGAGAAUUCAUGAACAAUAACGUAAUUCAAAGGGCCAGACAAAACUUGCACACACUUUCUCCAGUACGUUACAUCUCCUUUCUUUGUACAUUGUCACCUAGUUGUACAACCCAAGACAACACACGCUCGCUAACACUCUCCUCUCCACAUGCUAACCAAAAAAAGAGAAGGAAUACAUAAUCACACAAAGAACCAAAGCCAGGAAACUCCCCAAUACAAGGGAAUCGUUUGCUUAUAUACUAUACACAAACCUACACAAACAAACGGGACCCCCCAAAAAUCCCACACCCUACCAAACAAAUGUCCAUAUAAAACAGAAGAAUGUUACAUCUCAUUGGUUAGCGCUGUCGAUCGCCGUGCCGGACCUUGCCUGCGAAAUCCGGUUGGCGUAGAUGGUCACCAAGCGCAGCUGCGUGCUGCUCAGCCCUUCCAGGUACGGGACGAAUGCUUUCCCGAGCAUGAUGUAGAUAUCCACCAAGCAGAAUACAACACUCUAAAAAAUGCGUAGGUAGUAUCAGUUAUGAAUUCAUGCACAAGAAAAAUUCAUUCCAAGCACAUGCAAUUCCCAUGCCAGUCAGCAACUGCAGUCUGCAUCUACUGGCAGUUUUAUAACAAUCAUAAAUAAAAUAGAAAGGAAUUCCGCCAUGAUAAUAUCUGCACUAGAUUAGUACCCACCUUUCGAACAUCUGGACUUUGGUUACUAAAAGCAUCAAACAGUGCUGGCAAAAAUGUAGGCAGUUGAUCCAUCAAUUCCUCUUGGGAAAGGUGCGCGACAAGCUGCAGAGAUUAUCACAAGAAAGUUAACAGUCAAAACUGGUUGCUCAACAUAUUAGAUAUGUUUGGUUUAUGUAUGUUCCUAAUAGGCCAGAACUACUCUACAACAAAACGAAGAAUUUAAGUAGAUUUUCACACAUGAUGCAUAUAUAAUGAGAAAUGAAACGCACUACAGCUGCCUGCCUAGGGUAGCAAGGGUCUAUGUUCUUUUAGAACACUGUAUAUGAGAUACCUUUGUCAAAUAGUUGAUACACACAACGAGUAUCUUUUCAUCAUCACUGACCAAAAGAGGUACUACAACCUGCAGCAGAACCAAUGACCAUGAAGAAGUAAAGUUAAAUACACCAAGCAGAAACAAAAGUAACGGUGAUACAUAAAGAGAAAUGAUUUGUGCAUACAGCAAGAGAUCUGAAAGGAUCGUAUUUUGCCAACAAAACAUUUAUGCAUCGGUUCGCUUCAUUUGAAAUCUGCAUGCCCAGAAAGAAUAUUAAGUUACUAAAACACCAAAGCUGAACAAAGAACAGAUCUAAUGGUGUUAUAGUGAGGAAAAUAAAGGCAGGUAUACCUUUGCCACCACAUCUUUCGUCACAUGCAGAAGUUUUUCAAGAACAAUCUCAAUAGAUUCUUCCAUAGCGUCUUUCUGAGAGCAAAAUAAGCAUUAUUACUAUCAAGAAAUGAAGCGGCAAUUAAUUAAACUAAUCUUAAUGUGCAAAGGCAUGGAUAGUGGACCUGAUUGUUGAGCAUCUCAGCAAUUAAAGACAAAGCAAUCUCCCUAGUAGAUGGAUCGGAGUCACCCAGCACGUCAAGUACGGUCGUUAAUAUUUGAUUGAAAUACUGUUGGAAAAUUGAAAGGCUGGAAUUAGAAUGCAAAUAGUUUGAAACCUCUCGGCUCUAGCUUAGUAUAUAUUCCAUUUUAACUUUACACCUCUGGUAACACAGCUAGUAAUGAAAUAAUGAUUUCACAUAUUUAUGCAACGAAAAAAGGGAAAUAUACAAGAAAAGGUAACAUAACAUGCUGCUGUGGCAUUUGUAUAUGCAAAACUACAAAUGCCGCUGUGCAUUAAAAUAAGUUGAAAUGCAACCCUGCUUUUCAAAUACCCAUUAUUCUUUUGCUGAGAAAUAGAAAAAAUAAACUAAACUAUUGUAAAAUUAAGCACUUAAGGUAUAUUUUGUAAGGAAAUCAGGUUGCAAACCUUUGACCAAACGGAGCUGUCAUUACCAAGCGAAGCCUUAAUCAAGUGUUGUAAUGCUUCGUGCUUUUCCAAACUUGAUAUUUCUGUGUCGGUGCUUAUCUACAAAGUGAGAAAAAUAAAUUAAAAUGCUUCACAAAGAUUUAGAAAAGAAAAAGACACAGCAGUACACACAAUCAAGUAAAAGGAUUUUUCAUCAGUACCUGAUGAAGAAGUUGUGGUAUGCUCAAGCCGUUGUCAGCAUGUAUGCUGGUCUUUAUAGAACUAAGGUUUACAACCAUAUCUGUCUCCUGAACAUCUUUUCCUGUAGUUGAACCAACAGCAUUAUGCCCAUCAGGGCUGUGCAGUUGGCUGAAAUCCAAGCGCGGAGUGCUCAUAGCGGUUUCACCAUCUAAGGAGGCAUCGGUUUUUUCAGGGUAGUUUGUCCAAGAACGAUUAUCUUCCACAGCUGAGCUAAAAUUAUUCUUUGAUUCUCUACUUCUAUUUAAAAAUACUUCAGUUCCUGAGGCCGGUUCCAGGCUUUGAUUAGUACCGGCACUCAUAUCCGAAGUUGUUCGGGCCAUAGAGACAUUAUGUAAUGUUGGUUCAUGCACUGUAGUGGUCUUCUUUCCCACUUCGGCGUCAAGGGAACUAGAAGAAUACCGCCCAAAAGGAUAGCUCUUCUUCAAUGUCUGUGCAUAACCAUCUUCGGAAGAAGUUCCAAAGUCUGCCUGGUCAUAAGAUUUAGGGCGUGGCCGUUCUUUCUUGCUCUGCAAGUAGUUCACCAGAUCAACCUCAAUACGAGGUGUUUUUUGCUUCAGGGCACGCCUCAAUAGGUUUUGCUCUUCAACUGAUAAACUUAAAAUAAAAUUUAACACUGCCGUUGAGUCAAACUGAGAAUACACAGAUAUGAUACCAGCAAUAGAUGCCUCCUUCAGUUUUGCAUUCUUUUCAUUCACUAACGGUGCCAAUUUUGAAAGCCAUAGCUUAAGGAAGCCACUGUUACUAUAACCUUCAGAAUCUACCGUGUAAUUACUGAACGAUCUGUUUGCAAAUUCAAUAACAGCCAGCUUUGCCUUUGGUGACCUCUGUUCAUCUAGUGAGCGUACUAGGGCAGGUAGCAACAUAUCGAUUGCAUAUAAUCGACCAACAAUCUCCAAAGUCAAAGAACAUGGUUUUUUUACCAACUCUUUUGGAUCAAUAAGGCGGGAAAAGACAUGUGGCAAAAUUCUUUCGACAUAACUCUCAAAUGGCUUCUUGCAAGCAGGAAUAAUCUCUGCAAGCGUAGAAAAAGCGGCUUGUGCAACCUUAUGAUGAGGAUCAUCCAGAUGGCGGAAAAAUAGCUUCAUGACCUUUUCAAAAUUCUGAAUAAUUUCUUGAGUACCUCUCUGACCUUGUUGCACUAUAUUCCGAAUAAAAUCAAAAGCAGAGACUCUUGCUACCCAGUCAGAACUAGGAUUGAGACCCUCAGAAAGUGCAUCGUGUAGAGUAGCCAGAGUAUCUGUAUAUCUAGAUACAUCAUUGGAAGGUACUUGACUAUCAUCAAAUCUGUCCCGGCUACUUGCAGAAGGCCUUGACAUUACUUGCUUUCUUAGAAGAGGUCUCUGGAAAUUCGGGACAUUGUUGUUAUGUGAAUCUCUGUGAGCAGCACCAUCCCUAUAAGGCAUAUCAAUAUAGUUUUUUUCUGUGUGCAUUUGAGGAAACCGCCUGGUUGACCGCAGAUCAUUACUCUCAUCCAUUCCGUCUUGAAGCCUCUCUGAAGAUCUUCUUACAUAAGGCAGUGAUAAGCCCGUCAUGGACUCGGAUGAUAGAUUACUCAAAUAUGGUGACCUCGAUCGCUCUUUGGUGGCCAACUGUGUCGUCAUUGUAUCCAAUGCGCGGGAACCUCCAUUUCGUGUACUAGAACUUUUGAUGCUAGGAAUGGUUGAAUCCAAGAACGCUGAGUUCUGCAGAGAUAGAUGAUUUGAAGCUGGUGCUGCAAGAGGAACAGGAGGAUCACGAGAUGAUGGAGCAUCAACCCCUGCACUAGGAUUAAAAAAUAAUAAGAAACUAGAAUUCUAACGAUCAGUGGAGAAAGUAGAAACGAUAAUUUUGUCAGGUGAUUUCUAAGGAAUACACUAUUAAAAGCAUUCGAAUUCUUCAAAGAAAGGUAUAUGCGGAUUAAAGAAUACCAAGGUCCAAGCUUGUUGAGCGUGCAACUGAGAAAUUUUGCCUAUCUGAUAUGCUAACACCUUUCAGCAAACUUUCAAUAGCAGAAACCUUUUCUUUGCUUGAACUGAGCACACUUUCUAGGCUUCUAUCAGAAACGCUGCUGGUUGUCUUUGACUGUGAUAAACGAAGAUUGUUUGAUGGCAGAGAUGAAUCUGAAGAAAUAGCUGCACUCUUGUCCAUUGCAACAAUAGCUGAAGUGCCAUAUCCAGGCAUAUGAGUGCCACUUGCAUGAGAUGAAGUGCGAGAAGGCUGCAGAACCUUCUCACGAAGUGAGGGAGAAGCAUAACGUUUGUGCACACCAUCCUCAUCAUUUAUUGUCUGCAACAGUUGCCAAUUGUACAUUAGAAUUUAGGCUGUGUUACAGCUACAAAAAAAGUAAGAUCUGAAGAAACACAAAGAGAAAAGCAGCAUGUCGUACCCUCUGUAUGGCAGGAUCAAAUUGCAUAAAAAGACGGCGAGAGCGCUCAGGCCAUGUUUUCGUGAACAUUCUGUAGCAAGUUCUUGCAGUUGAACGGACCUAGUUGCAGAAACAGCAUGGAACACAAAAAUAAUCAGAAUGAAUGUGGACAGAGCCGCAAUGGUCCCAGCAUACCAGCAGGCAGCGGCACAGAGAUCAGAGAUGAGAUAACUCAAGAACCUUCUAGUUUUAACAAUUAUGCCCAUCAAUAAGCAGGUAUAUCAUCAUAUACUACCAAUAGAAUGCAUGAACUCAGAAUAUGGACUUGUCAUUUGCUACAUUAUUGUCUCCUGAACUUUUUUUGGGUGGCAUGCAAGGGUAAGCAGAGAAAAAAGGCACCGGUUCCGUAUGAAGUAGAAUCCCUCAUAAUUUUAUUGGUUCCUCAGAAACAGAUUGCUUAUUACUCUAUACACAUUAUGAACAGAAAGCAACCUAUAUUCUUCAUUAUUAUGCCAAACAAGCUACCGUAUUUCCAAAUGGAUACAUUGUUUCAUGAGUAUAUCUGCAAACAGAACGCAAACCAGCACUACAUAGAUUCUGUCUGGGCAAUAUCAUAUUGAUGCCUCUCCAGUCAUGUAGACAGCCAGUUGGGGAUAGGUUGAAAUGUAAGGCUGAGUCAGGGUCCUAGUGGGUAUCAUUGCAGCAUUGCUGCUUGAGUAACAAGUUUUGCUGUUUCGCUCUGGUGUGCUGCAAAUAAUUAACAUUCCGCUUGGUUUGAUUUCAACAGAAUGGAACUAUGACUGGACUCUUCAAUUCUACAAAGUACAAACACUAGCAUACGACACACAGAGAAGUUGUUGUGUGUCUGAUAGUGCGACAUAUUGAAUAAUUUAUUUAACUACCUGAUUUGAAAUGAAAAUGAACACACUAUAUGCACCAUAGGUCAGCGAACAGAUCAUACCUCACUCAUAGCAUCUGCUACACAGCACUUUAUUAGAUCUUCAUAUAAAUCAGCUGAUCGUUGUAUUUCCGGGGCAUCAGCCCAAUAUUCCAAUAUUAGAAGUGCGUAUUCGCAGCACCUGGUACAGUAAAAUGUAAGCUUGAGUAGCUUGAAGAAACAUGUACACUGGACGGUGUCAACAUGCAUACCUAGCACGGAGAAUUGCGCUUCGGUCAUUCUUGGCUGUGUCAGCUACACGAGGAAGAAUUCGUGCAACCUUGCAGUUUCGCAGGAUCUGCAAGAUGUCCCAUAUCAGCAAAGAGACUAAACAAAUGGCAUCCAUGAAGUGCAAAUAUAUUGAAAUAAAAUUUCCUCACAGUUUUUAUGCAGGUGUCUGAAGAUUCAGCGAUGACAAGCACAGUUAUAACAACAAGCUUAAAAAGCAUCUGGAAAUUUCACAAAUAUUUUAGAUUUCUUAAAACAAUAUAGCAAAACAGAAGGAAAAAACUGUUUGCAUCAUUUACCGGAAUAAAUUGUUCAGCACAUGGCUCAAAGUCACCAAGGAGUUCUUUGGACAGCACAUUAAGUAAAUGGCAUGCCUGGGCAUAAAAAACAUGACAGGAAGUAAGUUUUCAAUUUGAGCACAUUCAUCUGAUCAAGUAUUCAACUCGUUUGACAGCAAGAAAAUAGAGGGAAAGACAAGCGUUGGAGAUAAUCAAUUUGAUACUUAUCAAAAUAGGUUUCUUGAUAAAAGAUGCUUAUCAAAAGAAGAGAAAUGGGUGGAUACCUGUUUUACAAUGGUAGACCGUCGAUCAGCUAGCUGAGUAGACAAUGGAGGAAUCAGCUGCUUCAAGAGUGUCAGAAACGAUGGGUAAUCAAUAGCUCCUGGAGAAACAUAAAUAGAACAUUUUAAAGCUAAGCAUAGAACAUCAAAUUAUCGAGUAAUUUAUCAACAUAAAUGCUAAGAAUGUUGACGGACUAAUUCUCAAAUAACCCCAUAUUAUAUUAUUAUGUGUAACUGGACUGUGAUAAUAUUUUCCCUUUUGAGUCCAAAUGAUGAAGGCCUUGCAAAACAGUAAGGUAUGUCAUCAAAACUGCAGGUUGCACCAUUGCUCUGUUCUUUGAGCCAAUAUUACUACACAAUAGGAUGUUUAUAAUAAAAGAUGUUCAUUUUUAUAAAAGAUGGACCUUCUGUUUAUUUCACUUCACUGCAUACUUCAAAAGCUCACUUAUCGGCAAAUAAAGGGGAAAUGUUUCCGUCCUAGUCAUCAGUCCUAGUAAUGAGGGUCCCUUUCUGGUUAGACAAAAUAUUAGUUGGCUGUGGGAUCAAAGACGUACUGCAAAAUGUAUGCUACAGAUGUUUUUUUUUCUUUGCUAAUGGCUACAGAGGUAAUUAACGCCGAGCAUAAUUGCAUAAAGCUUUGUUAAGAAAAAUAGGUAUAGAUGUGGACAUACCUCCAUAAACCAGUGCUUCAAUCCUUUGCAUGGCAGCAAUACGAACUGACCAGUCCUUUUCUGGAACAAGAGUAGCUGCAAUCUUCUCAAACUCCCGAAGUAAUUCUUUCUCUGAGUGGACUCUUACUGGUUCCACUGGUUUUUCAGUUAUAUCAGUGUCACCUGUAAAACAUCAAAUUACUGUAGAGAAACAUGUUGUCCAUGUGGCAGGGGCAAUAACCAUAAAAACAUUGACUUGUCAGAAAAUGAAAUUUUCUGUUAAGUCUAAUAGAUUACAGGCUGAAAAAGAAGUUUCAGGGAACAUAGCUCAACUAAAGGCUUCUGGAUUAUACACUGAGCAAAAGUAAGAAGAAAAUAAAUAAAGAAACAAAUAUAGCAGUACUUCACCUGGAUAAAAAAAUGAUGCAUCUCAAAACAUGAAAUGGACUUCAAAUGUUGUACUAUUAAAGUAUUAAUGAUUACUUUCAGAUAAUGAAUUCAAAGACAUUUUGUGCAUAUUAUCACUGCAUUUUGAAAUUAAGAAUAUAUCAUAUGUUUUCACAGUAAUUAUAUGAACGAAUUCUCGAACUUGCACGCCCUGGUCACUAUGGUCCACAAAUUCUGAAACCACAGAUUCACCACCUAAAUUUGUUAACAGGGUACACGGGUAGUUCUCAGAUCUGGUUUUGCUAGCUCUGGCCACUUAUGUGGCAUGUUGACAGGGCACAAUGUGUCAUCCAUGGUUUUCGAGUCGCGACUCAUCGGAGUCGCUCUGAGUCGCUCUGGGGUAGCGACUCGGAAAAAGUCGAGCCUACGGUUGCGACUAGUCGCGACUCCCGACUCGAGUCGACACUAAGUUGAGUCGACAUUUUUUUGCGACUCAUCGACUAGUCGACGACUAGUCGCGCGACUCAAAAUCCAUGGUGUCAUCUAAUCAGCAGGACCACUCUCAGCCGUGGUGCGCACGGAUCUGGUCUGGGCACACACACCGAGUAAGAUCUUUGUCAGCCCCAAGCCUCUAACGGUGACUUUGAUCUCGUCAUCUCAUUCCCUGUGGUCAGUUCUUUCCCGACUAUCACUGAACCUUGACUCUGGUCAGGGGUGGCCCAAGAACUCAGGGCACGGCUCCAUGCCCAUGUGGGAUGAGUGGCAGCAAGGAGAGUGGUGAAGCCGACAGUGACGGGAAGAAAAUGGGAGAAAAGGAACAGGAAGAAGAUAGGGUGUCCGGCAUGUGGGCACUCCUUACUGGAUGACACCACGCAAGCACUUAAAUCAUGCAAGAUCUCAUUAGGAUCUCUGGAGAGCCACUUUAACAUACUUAGAGCAAGUGAAUAGGUGGUUCCAAUGUUUAUUGACAUAUGUGGUGGGGACAUGAAUUGACUGGGUGCAAUUCCCGUAUACGUAACUCAAAAGCUGGACUUCAGUUUUAAUUUGCUGACAAAAUACAGACUAUAGAACUACAGCACACGAUCAGCUACAGUGCUGAUUGUUUUGGUUUUGAAAGUGAAUCCUCUUCAUGUGUAAGUCCAUCCUAUUAUCAUGAGCUGGUUAGGAGCAUUCAGGCAUUCGCAAAUGUUCACCCAUAUAAACAUGGAAAAAGGACAUCUCUUGGUGCCUAAACAGUACCUAGACUGACAAAUUGCAGUUAUAGAUCGUCUUGGCUUGCAACUAUAGUUGAAUGCAAACACAUAUAUUUGAAUGAUCAUGUGUGAACUUCUGACAAAAAUAUAGAGCUUACCUCCAAAUAAUGUGCUUUCCCUCGGUGUGCUUUUUGUCCGUGGGCUGCCUCUUUUUGGGUUAACACUAACGGAUCUAGAUGCUGCAACUUUAUGCUGUGUUGCAGUACCAUCAGAUGCGGGAACCUUUGGUUCAAUUCUAUUCAAUCUUGAAUUUAUUUCUUUUAGCUGCAGAUAUCGGACAAUACAUGAAUUAGGAUAAUCCAGGUUUACUGCUUUGCGGACCUUUAAAAAUGGACACGUAAAGUUCAAUCAUAUAAAGUAGUACCAGAUACUAGUCCAAAAUACACAGAUGUACUAAGAGUGAGACACUAGUAUCAAGUGGAUUUCUAGCAAGCAAAGGGCAACUGCCAAAAACAACUAGAUAGCCAAAUACACUACCAUGUAUGUAGGCAGAUUAUGGCGCUGCAACUCUUCGUGGAACUGAGAUCCCAUGUUCUUGUACAUUUCCUGUGAUCGAAAAAAGUGACAAGUGAUAUUAGGAUUGCCGUAUAAUUUUUACAUAGCCUGGAUAGCGGGUACAGGCUGCAAUUAGUUAGUAUGGACAGUUGCUACUAAUUACACCAAUAGUUUGAAAGCAUGGGAUAAACUACUUUUAAAACACACAAAAACAGAUAAAACUGAGGGCAAGGGAGUAGUGAAAAGCAACUAGAAGCAAAGGGCAUUGGGACUACAUUGAUUGUUUGAGUAUUUUUGUAGGAAAGGUUCAGCCUAUCCAACUCGCAGAGUGGGACAGAACUAUUGCAAAAUUGAGUAAGACGAAUGUUGGGCAUCCGAAAGCGCAAAAUGGGAAGGAAUAUAAGUGGACAAAAGAUGAAAAGCAUCAUCUGAAGCAGGUAAAAAUGGUAUGAAACCAGCUAACCUCAAUACAAGAUAUAGCAGCUUCUCUGACACUUUGGUUCGAAUCAUUCAUCAACUGUAGGACCUGUGAAGCCAGAUAGUCUCAGCAUAUCUAUCUAUUGAGUAAACAUAAAGUCUGAGAUAUGCACAAAAAUGUACGGUAACAAAUCGACUUGAAUACUAGACUCACGGGUGAGAGUAAAACUCGUUGCAUGAGAAGCUCCGUAGAAGCGAAAAGCCCAACUGCAGUUGCCACUGUAAGUACAAACUCUUCCCGAACCCUCCAACUCUUAUGAGUCCAUGCAUAAUUUCCGGCCCUUUCGAGAAUGAUUGUUGGUGAAGAAACCUGAGAUAUGGAUGAAAUCAGAAGGCUACCUAGUAAUAAAUCUAAAACAUUGAGAACAAGGCGAGCAUGUUUGGCUUCAUUUGUUGAUAUUCAUUGGGCAGAAGUCUACAUGUAAAAGUAAUGGUAACAUAGUACUAGUAACAAACAGCAUUGACAAAGGAGAAAAGAUAACGCGUAUUUUGAUAUUUAUGCUCUAUAAAAAUCAAAGCAUUAAGAAAGAAUUAUGUAAUUUACAACAACUAGGCAUAUUAUAGAUUUCAUUUCAACACCUGAAAAGAGCAAUCUUUACAUGUGAACUAACAGCAUAUUUGAGGGUAAAUGGUUCUUAAAACAGUCGAGCAAAAACCAAACUGCAUAUGAGAAGUUUGAAUCUUCGUUUGAUACCCACCCACAUUUUACCGUUUGUACAAACCAAACUUGACCCAAAACUAAGAAAGCUAAUCCCUUGAUUAUUGAAGUUUGAAACGGCUUUGUAGCUCAAUAGCACAUCAUCACACAAAACCUAAAACAAAUUCAUGCUGAUAGAUAAUUGGACCAAAUUUAAAACUCCAGCUAAGUUCCAAAGCAACCACAUUCCCCCCUAAUAUAACAGAUUAAAGAAACAACAAGUGGGAUCAUCACGACCGAAAGGGCGGACGACUCACCUCCAUGAGCGUGACGAGGAGCUGGCGCGCGGCCUCGCGGACGGGCUGCUUGCCGUCGCCGAGGCGCUCGACGGCGGCGGGGACGAGCGCGUUGAGGUGGAUCUUGAAGUGGUCCCCGGCGAGCACGGCGGCGGCGGAGAGCGCCUGCAGCCCCCCCUGCGCGACGCGGAAGUUGGCGUCCCGCGUCAGAUCCACGCAGGUGUCCACCAGAGAGGUGACCUCGGCCGGGGAGAGGCCGCGGCGCGCCGCCGCGUCGAGCGCCUCGUGCAGGCGCUCCACCCCGGCCAGGCGCUCCUUGGUGUCCUUGGCGCGCGCCGCCUCCAGCGCCGCCUCCAUUCCGGCGCGCGGGCCCCGGAGAGUCCGCCGUGUGGCAGUACGGUUGCGUGGAGGGGGGGCCGGCGGCGAGGCGAGGGGGGUGGUCGGAUCUGGGGACGGAGGCGAGGGGAGGGGGAGGGGAGUGUGAGAGCGUACACGGAUGCUGAGAGGUAGGGUGGUUGGGGCUUUAGGUGGGUUUGUGCAAUGACACCCCUGGCUAGUUGCGACAUUUCACGCUUAUGCCCUCCAUUUGGAUACAUAGAGGCUACAGUAUGAAACGGGGGUCGUUUCUUUCUUGAAAAGCGUGCCAUGAACUGGAGUCCGGGAAAGCGGAGCACGUUACCGAAUUUUGGGUGGGGUGUGGGAUUUGAACUAAAACAACGUCACUUGGAAAACAGGUGGAAUUCCUGGGAUCGAAAAGUGACUUUGAAAAUCAGGGGCCAAAGACGACGACAUAGCAUAACGUCGCCGUCCAUGCCAAAACGUCGUUCCGUACGUACAGUCAAGUCGUUGCCCCCCGUGAUUAACUGAGAGUUAGCAGAGAGCAAAAGCGUCGUUUUUCAACUCAAGUGUGGCCAUCACGUAGACUACAAUACAUAGGACUCCACAUGGAUGGUAUAUAUAUUAUCCUCCCUCCGUUUCUAAAUAUAGGCCUUUCUAGAGUUUUAAAAUGGACUAGCACAUAUGAAUGUAUAUAGACAUAUUUUAGAGUGUAGAUUCACUCAUUUUGUUUCUUAUGUAGUCACUUAUUGAAAUGUCUAGACAGACAAAUAUUAGAGAAGGGAAGGAGUACAUGUUAGGGAGUAUGAGACGCUAUAUUAGAGAGCAUUAUUGUACCAAACACAAGGAAACAAAAACAUGUCUCGUUUGAGAUAGAUAUAUAUGGUCCACGCGGAGCUAGCUCGGUGGGAUGCUUGAUGUACGUAUGGUAAUGCAUGGCAACUACUCGCACCAACUAGCAGCAGUACGUGUGUGUGAUGUUACACCUGAACUAAUCAUCCUCCGCCUUAAACUCCCUUGCGUCCUUGUCUCUUACCAGCGGAAAUGUUAUGUUACGUACGUGGACCAUGCGAUCGAGCUGCAGGGAGGGCGGCUAUCAUUGUCAGUCGGAUCCCGGAUGGCUGCGUUGCUUUGAUGCAUGCAGGUGAUCCACCACGCUGUUUAAUUAAUUAUUAAGUGUCGUAUGUGCAAACGAACGAACCCUACUAGUAGGUUACCUCUGCACUCCACGCCUGGUACACAGAUAUUGGGUGAAUGAUGUGAUCGUGCACGUUACAAGUGCAUUCCAGUCUAGGAAUGUAACGGCAUGCUAGUAUAAUUAGGGAGCAGUAUGUCAAGUACUCCCUCCGUUCCAAAAUAGAUGACCCAACUUUAUAUUAAAAUUAGUAUAAAGUUGGAUCAUCUAUUUUGGAACGGAGAGAGUAGUAGUUUGCUUGAUUUGCAGUCUCGUCUCAU
Molecule: long non-coding RNA, 72718 nt
Filed under: Triticum aestivum (bread wheat)
Lineage: Eukaryota; Viridiplantae; Streptophyta; Magnoliopsida; Poales; Poaceae
Description: long non-coding RNA (TAES_LNC021117)
Source: RNAcentral